ACAAACGACAUCAGACCAGAUGGUGUUCUUGUAACUAGAUAAAGAGACAUGAAAUUAUGUGGCUAGCACAUGGUACAGGGCGGGAGCUUAUCAUAACUAGUUACUAAUUAUACUCCUAGAGAUCUCACUUUGAUAAACGAUUGCCAAUAAAUUACUGCCUAGACAUAUAGUUCCUGCUUGCAUUCAAUAUAAGCUAAGUUGUUGCAAUGUAACCCUAACACAUACCAAUAGAAACUGUUUGAAUCACCAAUGCCUGGACCUGUUAUUCAGUCUCUCAUUACUGGCUCUCUUCUUCAUUGUCAUCGUCCUCUUCCUCCUCCUCCUCAUCGCUCUGCUCACCGUCGCUGGCAGCUGCAGAGUCUGCCAUAUUGUUCUCAUGGUACUGAUAAUGCGGGCGGAGGGCAGGGCGGUGAUGGUGUCUGCUACCGUCGCUGGCACGGUACCGGUCAUGGUGAUUGCUGCUCGUCCGGGCAUCAGGAAACGGUGCCAUUCUUCUCGAUGUGGAAUCUGGUACGGACGCCAUCCUCCUAGAUGAGCCACCAACAGUGGCGGCACCUACCUGGGAGUGGGAGGCAGCCGCAGCGGGAGAGAUGUGGCUCUUGCCCUGUGAGAGCUCCUUCUGCGUAUUGAGGAAGAACUGCACGCGUUGCGACUCAAGCUCCCGUGCGAAGUCCAGACGCUGGCGCUCCAUCUCGGCGGCCUGCUCCAGCUUCGCUGUCUCCACGCGCUCGUAGGCCUCACCAAGGCGCCGUAUCGCCUGCGCUAGCUCUCGCAUGCCCUGAGAACGGUCGCCGCCGCUGAAGCCAUCCACGCGCCCCUCGUCCGUCCUCCUCCUCUUGCCAUUCGCCGCCUGAAGCGCAGGCUCCGGCGGGAACCCGUCGGACGACUCAGACGAAGCCGACAGCUCCGGAGACGGCGCCCUCCGCUUGACGGGCGCCGAGGCCGGCAUCAGCGGCGUGCGGCUGCGCUGGGGGAAGCCCGCGCGCAGCGCUGUGGGCACCGCGUUCCGUCCAUUAGGGUGGGCGGCCGGCUUCUGGUUGUAGGUGGGCGCGAGGAGCACGUCGAGGCGGUCGUAGAACUGCCACGACGAGACCGGCUUGGCCCUCUCGAUCUUGUACUUCUUCUUGAGCGUGUCGAUGCGGUUCUUGCACUGCACGUCGGACUUGGGGGCCUUGGAGUAGUUGUCCCGGGAGGAGACGGCUUCGGCGACCUCCUGCCACUGGGGGUGGCGGAGGCUGCCGCGGCCGAGCGCGACGAAGCGCUCCCCCCAGGCGUCGAUGAGCGCGGAGGUGGCGCCCUCGCUCCAGGCAUCCUCCCUGCCCCCGCCCCCGCCGCCGCCGCCGCCGCUGCCGCCGUGGCUGGGGUAGGACCCGUGCUUCUGGAUCGGGAGCGCGAGCGUCAGGGGCCCGCCGGGCGGCGCGGAGGCGACGGUGACGGGAUCGGCGACGGGGAGCGCGGAGGCGACGGGAAGCGGCGAGGAGGAGGCCGGCGAGAGGGAGGGCGAAGGGGAGUUGUCGUCGUCGUCCAUGGCGGCGGAUCGGGGAGGGAUUGGGGAUCUAGGUUGGAACCGAUCUGGGGUUGUAGGUCAGGGGUCGGUGGUGGUGCGGCGGUGCCGGCGGUGUGGGGCUGUCGUGCUUUGAGGGGGUCCGUCCGGUUGGGACUCGGCGCGGCGGGUUGACUUGGGCCAGGCCGGGGGCGAUGGGCUCAGGCUGGCGCCGGGGUGGGUUAGGUCGGGUCGGAGAAAACGGCCGGCGGUGGGGGGUAUUUUGGGCUUCCUGCAGCCUGACGCGUCGGCCGGCAGGCAGGAAGACCGGUCGCCACGUUCCACUUCCACCCAUUGUUCCUCGGAGUCGGAAGAGUCUCCUGUCCUGUCCAGCCGGAAAACAAGCCAACACCACUUUUGAUGCACUAGCAGGGUGUAGGAGCGUGAGGCGACGACGAGUUCUCGUCGUCGUCUUUUCGAUUGCUCGCUCCGGUUUAAAGGUCCUGUCUUAUUUUUUAUUUUAUCUUUCAUUUUACUAGUCUAAGUAGUCUUAUUUCUAUUGCUCUUUAUCAUAUGUUUAGAUAUUGAGAUGCAUUAAAUCGUUGCAUACAAGAAUUAAGAGAAAAUUCAUCAAUGCAUCUAAAAGUCCUUGGUCAUUUAGUGAUCAUGUAUGCAUGCGCUGUAAUUAAUGCAUCGGUAAACAUGAUUUUAUUAUAAAAUAGCGAGCUCCACACACUUUGUUACAGAAUUAGGAAGGUGUUGGUUAAACCGGUCAUAAUGAAAGUAUCAUACAUGUCAAUUAGAUAUUUUUUUUAUCAUAAUUUAAUGAAAAAAGAGAAGAUUGAGUAUCAUAAUAUGACCAUGCAUGACAAUAAAUGAGAUCACUAUGAUAAUAUGCACUGUAAAGGUGGUAUCAUACACUAGUAUCAUGUGCAUAAUAGUAGUACACGACACUUCCUAUUGCUAGCAGUCUUAGAGAAUCUACAACUAGAGUGAUCAAAUAUGAUCUCCUAGAUGUCCGCGGACGCAUCCGGGUGGCUUGCCCCUUAAAUGUUUGUCUUUGCAAUCAUAACUCUUACUUUUGAAAUACCGAUUCAUGCAAAUAUGUACAUGUCGAUCGUUUGGUGAUACAAAUACACACACCAAUAAAUAUUACACACAAUAAAAUUUAUCAGUACAUAAAAAUACAUAGUUCAAAUAUAAAAUUUAUUUGGCGUGCAUAAUUCAAACCUAAAAUUCAUUGAUUUUCAGUGUGGGUUCAUAUAUGCUUCAUAAGAUUAUUAUUGAUCUCGAAGUUGUCGAUCUCUAAAAAGUUCACGACAUACUUCACAUCUUGUUUCGGGAGGCGGACAUGUACCCCGGGCCUCUCAAAAUCAUGUAUGUGGACUGCCCCUCUGUUCUCAUCCAUCACAAUCAUAUUGUGUAAGAUUACACAACAUGUCAUCAACUACCAUAUGUCUAUGGUUCCUAUAUCAUUGUAGAUCCACGAACAAUACUCCGAAUACACUCUACACAUCAUUUAUUGCACCUUCUUGCAUUUCUGCAAAGAGACAUUGUCUUCUACCUCGAGGAUCGGAUAUAGUCUCACAAUCGCUGCCCACCGAGCAUAAAUACCAUCAGAAAGGUAGUACCCCAUUUUAUAGUUGGGCUCGUUUGACGGUGUACUUGCAUGCUCAAGCAUCCCCAUCACAAAGUUCUUGAACAACGGAGGUCUUUGGAGCACACUGAUAUCAUAUUGAGAACUAGUCAUGCCAAAAAAAGCAUGUUAAAUCCACAUGUCCUUUGAUUCCACUACUUGAUGGUGGCCUCUUUGGUGUGAUCUUGGUACUACUGUCUAAGUAAACCUUUAUUUAUGGUGUUGUCCUACGGUGCCCUCCGUCUCACGCAAACGUGAGGGGUCCCCGCUGUAGGGUGUUGCAAUACGUUCAUAAUUUGCUUAUUGUCGGUUGCCAGAGUGACAGAAGCCUGAACACAGAUAAAUUGGUUAUUGCGUAUGGGAGUAAAGAGGACUUAAUACUUAAUGCUAUGGUUGGGUUUCACGACCUUAAUGAUCUUGGUAGUUGCGGAUGCUUGCUAGAGUUCCAAUCAUAAGUGCAUAUGAUCCAACUAGAGAAAGUAUAUUAGCUCAUGCCUCUUCCUCAUAUAAAAUUGCAUGAAUGAUUACCGGUCUAGUUAUCAAUUGCCUAGGGACAAAUGACUUUCUUGUUGACAAAAGCUAUCUAGUUUUAUUACCUUGCAAUUUAUUCAUAGUUUUAUUCUCACAAAGUACAUGUAGUUUUAUUCUUGCAAAAUAGUUUCAUACUUGUUUUAGGUAAAGCAAACAUUAAGUGUGCGUAGAGUUGUAUCGGUGGUCGAUAGAACUUGAGGGAAAUUUGUUCUAUCUUUAGCUCCUCGUUGGGUUUGACACUCUUAUUUAUCAAAGAAGGCUACAAACGAUCCCCUAUACUUGUGGGUUAUCAAGACCUUUUCUGGAGCCGUUCCGGGGAGCAAUAGUGUGAGGUGAAUAUUCUUGUGUGUGCUUGUUCGCUUUAUCACUAAGUAGUCUUUAUUUUCUGUUCUAAGUUGUUCUCUAUCUUUAGUUAUGGAUAUGAAACACGAAACACCAAAAAAAAAGUUGUACUUGCUACUCAUGGAGAUGGGGAACCUCAAAACCCUCGAUGCUCGUUAUGUGAAAAUAUUAAACACUACUUUGAUAAACCUUAGAAAACCCCAUUCAACUUGAUAAUGGGAGUAACAUUGGAUCAACGUGAAUACUUUAGAGAUUAUCGCUUGACUCAAAAAGGAAAGCUUUUAUGGGAUCAAAUUGAAAUGUUGCAAUGGUAUGCUUGGAAUUUAUGCUUCAGAUAUGAUUAUACUUGUUGCUCUAGGAUGAAGACUCGACACCUUCCCUUUUCAUGUGAAUUUAGUGAUAAUGAAACAUUGGCUUCUUAUGCUAACGGUAGAUAUGAUUACUAUGAUGUGGAACAAAUAGAAGAAUUUGUUGCUUUUAAGGGUGCUUAUGAAAUUGAAUCUCUGUUUGAAAAGUAUGAAGAUUAUGAUGAUUCUAUUUAUAGACAUGAAAAUUUUGCCAUCCUUAUAUAUUGCUAUGAUAAUUAUAAAUACAAUGUCGAUGCUGAUGCGUUUGUUGAGAAAGUCUCCGCUAUCCAAGAAGAGACUAAUAUUUUACAGGAAACUAUAUAUGGAAGAAGAAACUGAUGAAACCGUGAGCUCAUUGGAUGAAAAAGAUGAUGUGGAGAGUGAAGAACAAAAGGAGGAAGAGCGGAUUAGCUACCCAUGCUCACCUUUUAAUGAGAGUAACUCUUCAACUCAUACAUUGUUUAAUGUCCCGUCGUUCUUACCGAAGGAUGAUUGCUAUGAUAAUUGCUAUGAUCCCGUUGAUUCAUUUGAAAUAUCCCUUUUUGAUGAACUUGAUGAUUACUAAGCUUGUGGCCAAGAUGACAAUUUGAAUUAUGCUUAUGGAGAUGAACUUGCUAUAGUUUCUUAUGUUAAAAAUGAAAUUGUUUCUAUCACACCCACACAUGAUAGUCCUAUUAUCUUUUUGAAUUCUCCCAACUACACUAUAUCGGAGAAGUCUGCUUUUAUUAAGGAUUACAUUGAUGGGUUGCCUUUUACCAUUGAACAUGAUGAUUUUGAUGAAUAUAAUAUGCAUGUGUUUUCUGCACCUACUUGUAAUUAUUAUGAGAGAGGAACUACAUCUCCGCCUCUCUAGCUUUCUAACAUUAUAAAAUUGCAAGAAACUUCUUAUGCUAUGUAUUGGCCUUUACUUGAUGUGCAUGAAUUGUUCUUGUAUGACAUGCCAAUGCAUGGGAAGAGAGUUAGACUUCGUUAUUACAUGAUAUAUGUUGCUUUGUGCUCACUACUAAAUGCCAAAUCAUUGUUAAUUAAAAUUGACUUUGAUAUACCUUGGGAUCCGGGUGGAUUCAUUACUUGGCACUUUAUGCCUAGCUUAAUGGCUUUAAAGUAAUCGCUGCCAGGGAGACAACCCGGAAGUUUUAGAGAGUCAAUUUAUUCUAUUGAGUUCUUUUAUAAAGUUUUAAAACAAAAAAAUAUAGAGGGGAACCUAAAAACUUUUUUUUCAAAAGAGAAGUGAUUUGAAGUUAUGCAUUGCAAAAGUGAGGGUCGACCUUGAACACUUGUGUUCAUGCUCAUGGAAACAAUGUAGAAUUUUUCAUGAAGAUUCUCAAAAAAAAUAGUUACCCCUUGUAUGAAGCAUUGUAUUAUAAAAAUAAUGUGUCAAGAUUUGCCUUUAGGACGAUUAGAUUGCUUGCUGGUAUGUGUAGUGCAAAAACAGAAACUUUGGUUGUAGUGCGUGAUUUUACGUUUUUUAUUGGAACGCCAAAAGUUUUUGAAGCUUCUUGCACAGUAUUGCUAUACAAAAGUUUUAUUUUGUCCUAAUUUUUUGAGAAUUUUUGGAAUUACAGAAGUAUGGUGAAUGUUCAGAUUACUACAUAUUGUCCUAUUUUUGAUAGAUUCUGUUUUUGAUGCAUUGUUUUGCUCAUUUUGAUGAAACUAUCGAUUGUAUCAGUGGUAUAAGCCAAGGAAAAGUUAUAUUACAGUAGCUACAAUGCAAAAUCAAAAUGUGAAUUGGUUUGUAAUAGUACUUAAAGUAGUGAUUUGCAUUAUUAUACUAACAGAUCUCAAGAGGUUUCUGUUGAGUUUUGUGUGGAUGAAGUGAUCAAAGAUCGAGGAGGUCUCGAUACGAGAAGAAUGAGGAGAGGCAAGAGCUCAAGCUUGGGGAUGCCCAAGGCACCCCAAGUAAAUAUUCAAAGAGACUCAAGUGUCUAAGCUUGGGGAUGCCCCGAAAGGCAUCCACUCUUUCUUCAACAAGUAUCGGUAUGUUUUCGUUUUCAUUUCGUUCAUGUGAUAUGUGUAAAUCUUGGAGCGUCUUUUGUGUUUAGUGUCAUUUUUCUUUUAUGCACCAUGCUGGUAUGAUAUAGUCCAUGGUUGGUUUAUAGAAUUCUCACUGCACUUCACUUAUAUAUUUUGAGUAUGGCUUUAUAGAAUGCUUCAUGUGCUUCACUUAUAUCAUUUGAAGUUUGGAUUGCUUGUUUCUCUUCACAUAGAAAACCGUUGUUUGAAUAAUGCUCUUUUGCUUCACUUAUAUUUAUUAGAGCAUGGUAUUUUUUAGAAAGAAUUAAACUUUCUUGCUUCACUUAUAUCAAUUUAUAUAGUCAAUAAGAAUUGGUCAAUUGCAUGGUUAGUCAUGAAAUCCUACAUAAAACUUAUGGAUCAUUGAAUAUGAUAUGUUUGUUUCCUUGCAAUAGUUUUGCGAUAUAGAGAUGGUAAUAUGUGGGAAGUACUAGUAAAUGGUUGUGGUUAGUAAGAAUAUUGUUGUUAAGGUUUGUGAUUCCCAAAGCAUACACGUAUAGUCUCUCGUUAUGCUAUGAAGUUGGAGCAUGAUGUAUUAUUGAUUGUCUUCCUUAUGAGUGGCGGUCGGGGACGAGCGAUGGUCUUUUCCCACCAAUCUAUCCCCGUAGGGGCAUGCGUAGUAGUACUUUGCUUCGAGGGCUAAUAAACUUUUGCAAUAAGUAUAUGAGUUCUUUACGACUAAUGUGAGUCCAUGGAAUAUAUGCACUCUUACCUUUUCGCAAUUUGCUAGCCUAUACGGUAUCGUGCAUUGCCCUUUCUCACCUCGAGAUGUGGUGCAAACUUCGCCGAUGCAUCCAAACCUCGUAAUAUGAUACACACACAUAAGCCUUAUUAUAUAUUCCUCAAAACAACCACCAUACCUACCUAUUAUGGCCUUUCCAUAGCCAUUCCGAGAUAUAUUGCCACGCAAGUUCCACCACUUCGGUUUUGAUGACUUGAGCAUUCAUUGUCAUAUUGCUUUGCACGAUCGUAAGAUAGCUAGCAUGAUAUUUCCAUGGCUUGUCCAUUUUUUGAUAUCGUUGUUAUGCUAGAUUAUUGCACAUCCUGGUACACUACCAGAGGCACUCAUAUAGAGUCAUAUUUUGUGAUAGGCAUUGAGUUGUAAUAUUGAGUUAUAGCUAAAUAUAUGUGUGAUGAUCAUCAAUUUUCAUUAUUAGAACAUUGCCCUAGUAAGGAAUGGAUGAUGGAGACUAUGAUCCCCCACAAGUCGGGACGAGACUCCCGACCAAAGGAAAAAAUGGAAGAGAACAAAAUGAAAGAAAUAAGGAAGAGAAGGGGCAUGCUAGUUCCACACUUGUGCUUCAAAGUAGCACCAUGUUUUUCAUACAGAGAGUCUCUUAUGUUGUCACUUUCAUAUACUAGUGGGAAUUUUUCAUUGUAGAGUUAGAUGCACACCCACUUAGUUUUCAUAUUGAGCUUUCAUACACUUAUAGAUCUUAGUGCAUUCGUUACAUGGCAGUCCCUACUCCUCACAUUGAUAUCAAUUGAUGGGCAUCUCCAUAGCCCGUUGGUUAGCCGCGUCAAUGUGAGACAUUCUUACUUUUUGCCUUCUCUAUAUUUACCCCUAUCAUCAUACUCUAUUCCACCCAUAGUGCUAUAUCCAUGGCUUGUGCUCAUGUAUUGCAUGAGAGUUGAAAAAGCUGAAGCGCAUUAAGAAGUAUGAACCAAUUUCUCUGCUUGUCAUCGGGGUUGUGCAUGAUAAAUACUUUGUGUUAAGAAGACAGAGCAUGGCAAGACUAUAUGAUUUUGUAGGGACAACUCUUUUUAGCGUUGAUAUCUUGAAAGACAUGAUUGUUUGUUUGGAUGCCUGAGUAUUGAUGUCUUUAUGUCAAAUUAUAGACUAUUGCUUUGAAUCACUCGUGUCUUAAUAUUCAUGCCAUGAUUAGAUAUAUGAUCAAGAUUAUGCUAGGUAGCAUUCCACAUCAAAAAUUAUCCUUUUUAUCAUUUACCUACACGAGGAUGAGCAGGAAUUAAGCUUGGGGAUACUGAUACAUCUCCGUCGUAUCUAUAUUUUUUGAUUGUUUCAUGCCAAUAUUAUACAGCUUUCACACACUUUUGGCAACAUUUUAUAUGAUUUAUUAGACUAACAUAUUGAUCCAGUGCCCAGUGCCAGUUCUUGUUUUUUCGCAUGUUUUUUGUUUCGCAAAAUAUCUAUAUCAAACAAAGUAAAAUGAAAUAAAAUUUUAUGGAGAAUUAUUUUAGAAUAUUUGUGAUUUUGGGAGGCGGAAUCAACGCUAAGGAGUCCCACAGCCCCCACAAUACACCAGGGCGCGCCCUAGGGGCCAGGCGUGUGGUGGUGGGUUUUGCUCACCUUGUACGUUGGUUGGAGAUCUACUUCGGGGCGCAAGGAAGCUUAUAUCCGGAAAAAAAUCAUGUUAAAAUCUCAAUGCAAUCGAAGUUAUAGAUCUCCGGGAAUAUAAGAAACGGUUUUUGGCCAGAUCUGGGAAAUGCGAAAUAGAAGAGAACAUAGAGGGAGAUCCAAUCUCAGAGGGGCUCCCGCCCCUCUGCCGCCAUGGAGGCCAUGGAACAGAGGGGGAACUCUCCUCCCAUCUAGGGGGAGGCCAAGGAAGAAGAAGAAGGAGGGGGCUCUCCCCCCCUCUCUCCUGGUGGCGCCGAAGUGCCGCCAAGGCUAGGACCUGAAGGAAAUAUGCCCUAGAGGCAAUAAUAAAGUUGUUAUUUAUAUUUCCUUAUAUCAUGAUAAAUGUUUAUUAUUCAUGCUAGAAUUUUAUUAAUUGAAAACUUAGUACAUGUGUGAAUACAUAGACAAAACAUAGUGUCCCUAGUAUGCCUCUACUAGACUAGCUCGUUAAUCAAAGAUGGUUAUGUUUCCUAAGCAUAGACAUGUGUUGUCAUUUGAUGAACGGGAUCACAUCAUUAGGAGAAUGAUGUGAUGGACAAGACCCAUCCGUUAGCUUAGCAUUAUGGUCGUUACAGUUUCAUUGCUACUGCUUUCUUCAUGACUUACAUGUUCCUCAGACUAUGAGAUUAUGCAACUCCCGAAUACCGGAGGAACACCUUGUGUGGUAUCAAACGUCACAACGUAACUGGGUGAUUAUAAAUAUUCUCUACAGGUAUCUCCAAGGUGUUUGUUGGGUUGGCGUAGAUCGAGAAUAGGAUUUGUCACUCAAUGUAUUGGAGAGGUAUCUCUGAGCCCUCUCGGUAAUGGUCAUCACUAUAAGCCUUGCAAGCAAUGUGACUAAUGAGGUAGUUUCGGGAUGAAGCAUUACAUAACGAGUAAAGAGACUUGCCGGUAACGAGAUUGAACUAGGUAUGAUGAUACCAAUGAUCGAAUCUCGGGCAAGUAACAUAGCGAUGACAAAAAGAACAACGUAUGUUCUUAUGCGAUUUGACCGAUAAAGAUCUUCCUAGAAUAUGUAGGAGCCAAUAUGAGCAUCCAGGUUCCGCUAUUGGUUAUUGAUUGGAGAUGUGUCUCGAUCAUGUCUACAUAGUUCUCGAACCCGUAGGGUCCGCACGCUUAACGUUCGAUGACGACUGUAUUAUGAGUUAUGUGUUUUUGAUGAUCGAAGUUUGUUUGGAGUCCCGGAUGAGAUCACGGACAUGAUGAGGAGUCUCAAAAUGGUCGAGACAUAAAGAUUGAUUCAUUGGAAGGCUAUGUUUGGACACCGGAAUGGUUUCGGAAGAGUUCGGGCAUUUUUCGGAGUACGGGGAGGUUACCGGAACCCCUCGGGGGAUUAAUGGGCCUUAUGGGCUUUAGCGGAAAAGGAGAGGAGGGCCGCAGGGUGGCCGCACGCCCCCCUUGGCUGGUAUAAAUUGGACAAGGAGGGGGCGGCUGAGGGAGUCCUGGAUUAGGGGGUCCUCGGACAGCCGGACUGUUGGACUAUGAAGAUACAAGACUGAAGACUUCGUCCCGUGUCCGGGUGGGACUCUCCUUUGCAUGGAAGGCAAGCUUGGCAAUCCAGAUAUGCAGAUCUCCUUCUCAGUAACUGACUCUGUGUAACCCUAUCCCCCUCCGGUGUCUAUAUAAACCAGAGGGUUUAGUCCUUAGGACAUCAACAAUCAUAAUCAUAGGCUAACUUCUAGGGUUUAGCCUCUACGAUCUCGUGGUAGAUCAACUCUUGUAAUACUCAUAUCACUAAGAUCAAUCAAGCAGGAAGUGGGGUAUUACCUCCAUCGAGAGGGCCCGAACCUGGGUAAACAUUGUGUCCCCCGCCUCCUGUUACCACUAGCCUUAGACGCACAGUUCGGGACCCCCUACCCGAGAUUCGUCGGUUUUGACACCGACAUUGGUGCUUUCACUGAGAGGUCCACUGUGCCAUCACAAUAAGGCUUGAUGGCUCCUUCAAUCAUCUGCAACGAUGCGAUCCAAGGUGAGGUUUUUUUCCCGGACAGAUCUUCGUAUUCGGCAGCUUCGUACUGCGGCCCAACUCGCUUGGCCAUCUAGAGCAGAUCGAUAGCUACGCCCCUGGCCAUCAGGUCAGGUUUGGAAGCUUGAACUACAUUGCCGACAUCCAGGGAGACUUAAUCUUCAACAGAUUCGAGCCCAUGACAGGUCCGCCGUACAGUCACGAUGAGCAUGACUAAGAUCUGCCAUCAGACGGUGUUCAGGAGAACACAUCUGCAGCUGCUCCGGCCUUAGAUUCGGAGCAGAACGUGCCAUUCGAGAUAGGUGGAUAGACCCCGCCAUGGAGGCCGCACACUCAUCGGUGUUAAAGCCGAACACAGACUUCACCUCCAAAGAUAUCUGGGUCAUCGGACCCUCGGACUCGUCUCCGGUCAUAGGCUCCGAACCACGUGCAUCCGUGCCUAUCGACUCCGAUUGGGCGACGAUCAUGGAGUUUACCUCUAUUGAUAUCUUUCAGCACUCACCCUUGGGUGAUGUGCUAAAUUUACUGAAAUCUCUCUCUCUGUCAGGAGACUCUUGGCCGAACUAUGUCCGGCUUGAGUGGGAAGCGGACAACGAAGAAAUUCGUUCCCCACCCACCACCCACUUAAUAGCCACCGUCGACGACUUAACUGACAUGCUUGAUUUCGACUCCGAAGACAUCGACGGUAUGGACGGCGAUGCCGGAGAGGAACAGGAACCACCGCCCUUAGGGAGCUGGACAGCCACCUCAUCAUACGAUAUAUAUACAUGGUGGACACACCCAAAGAAAACAACAGCGAGGGACUGGAGGAUGCAACAGAGGGUAACCCUCUAGAGAAGCAACCAAAGUGAUGACGUCGGCGCUGCUCUAAAUCCCGCCACAGUAGAAACAACGAUAACAGCGCAAGAAGAAAUAAUACCCCGGUCGACUCCAAAGGAAACGACGACCCCAUGGACCCAGCGACGGAGCAGGAGGAGCCAGGUGAAGGUAAACAUAGUCCGGGGCUGCUGUCCGAUCAUAGUGACGGCGGAGAUAAAACUCAUAAACCUCUCUCCAGAGAGGAGAACAGUCUGGGCGACGAUGCACUCAUCAUCCCUGAAAAACACUUGGAACAAGAGAACCUCCAUAGAAGGCUUAUUGCCACCGCGAGGAGCUUGAAGAAGCAGAAGCAAAGGCUUAAGGCCGCGUAGGAUACGCUCAACCGCAGAUGGAACAAAGUGCUCGACACUGAAGAAAAAUACGAUGGCGAUCGCCACACAAGGAGCUACCCAAAGCGCAAGCUGCUGCCCGAAUUCGACGACGAGGCUAUAGAGCUCAUUCAGCCAAAAAAUAAAAUGGCCGAUCAGCCAGACUGUCCACCCCAUGGCCGCGACAGGGCAACUAAUGACACCGCACAUAAGUCAACUAAUGAUUUACGUGAGCACCUGGACAAAAAAACCGGUAUGGCCAGGUCCAUUUAUGGGUCUAGGAAGCAUGCUCUGGCACAGGAUCAUGGCCGCCCAAAUGACUAUACUAACCGAAUAACAACUCGAAAUCAAAUCCGAACACUACAACCGUCAGAAGAAUGCCAUGACACAUCCAGAUACAGGGGUGCCGCACACCCCUGUGCUUCACCGAUUAGGUGCUGGAUCAUGAAUUUCCAGAGGGAUUCAAACCCGUGAACAUAGAGGCAUACGACGGAAUGACAGAUCCCGGGGUCUGGAUUGAGGACUUUAUCCUUCACAUCCACAUGGCUCGCGGAGAUGAUCUCCAUGCCAUCAAAUACCUGCCCCUCAAGUUGAAAGGACCAGCUCGGCACUGGUUGAAAAGCCUCCCCGAAAACUCAAUUGGAAGUUGGGAAGAACUUGAGGAUGCUUUUAGGGCUAAUUUUCAAGGGACCUAUGUCCGACCUCCGAAUGCAGACGAUUUAAGUCACAUUAUUCAACAACCCGGAGAGUCAGCCCGAAAGCUUUGGAACAAAUUUCUCACUAAGAAGAAUCAAAUCGUCGACUGCCUGGAUGCCGAAGCCUUAGUGGCUUUCAAGCAUAGUGUCCGGGACGAAUGGCUCACCAGACACCUCGGCCAGGAAAAGCCGAGGACAAUGGCAGCCCUAACAAGCCUUAUGACCCGCUUCUGCACGAGCGAGGACAGUUGGUUGGCCCAUAGUGGCACCAGCGACCCAGGCACAUCCGUAGUCAGGGAUGGCAACGGGAAACCGUGACGCAAUAAAAACAAGCGUCAAAACAAUGAAGACAACCCAGACAACACGGCGGUCAACGCCGGAUUUAGGGGCUCUCGACCCGGUCAAUGAAAAAAGCCAUUUAAAGGCAGCAGAGAUGGACCGUCCAACCUAAACAAGAUUCUAGACAAAUUAUGUCAGAUUCAUGGCACCCCCAAAAACCUGCAAAUCACACCAACAGAGAGUGCUGGGUCUUCAAGCAGGCUGGCAAACUAAACGUCGAACACAAGGGGAGGGAGACGCCAAGUGAAGACGAGGAUGAGCCUCGCCAGCCGAACACUGGGGGACAGAAAAAAUUCCCACCAGAGGUCAAAACAGUGAGCAUGAUUUAUGCAACUCACAUACCAAAGAGGAGGCGCAAACAUGCACUCCGAGGCAUAUACGCUGUAGAGCCCGUCGCCCCCAAGUUCAACCCUUGGUCGGCCUGCCCGAUCACUUUUGAUCGCAGGGAUCAUCCGACUAGUAUCCGGCAUGGAGGAUCGGCUGCCUUGGUGCUCGACCCAAUAAUUGACUGAUACCAUCUCACCCGAGUCCUUAUGGACGGCGGCAGUAGUCUCAAUCUGAUAUAUCAGGACACUGUCUGCAAAAUGGGGAUAGACCCGCCAAGAAUCAGCCAAAGUAGUAGCACCUUUAAAGGAGUAAUACCAGGCGUAGAGGCCCGCUGCACGGGCUCUCUAGUACUAGAGGUUGUAUUCGGUUCUCCCGACAACUUCCAAAGUGAAGAAUUAAUCUUCGACAUCUCUCCAUUCCAAAGUGGCUAUCACGCACUACUCGGAAGAACGGCCUUUGCUCGUUUCAAUGCAGUACCGCAUUACGCUUAUCUUAAACUUAAGAUGCCUGGUCCAUGUGGCGUUAUCAUAGUUAGCGGAAAUGCAGAGCGUUCCUUGCGUGCAGAAGAAUAUGUGGCGGCUCUAGCAGCCGAACACUGAACGGCCUCUCCAACCAGAAUAAAUGACCGGUUGUCAAGACCGCGGACACGGUUAGCUGAGUCCGGCGCACCACUAGUUGUAGCAGCCCAGAUAAACCUGAGCUUGGGUCGAUGGAUAUACCCCCAUAGGUGGUGCUAGGGGCUGCCCGCAUGUAAAAAAGGCCCAUAGUUCGUCUUUACCCUAUUAAUACAAUAACAUAUUGCAUUUUUUAUGGUUCAUUAAGAAUAACCAAUGUUUUCGCACGAAGUCUUUCACCUGGGUUUUUCUUUUCUACAGAUGAUCAUUGUGCUACACCCUUCCAGGAUACGGCACAACGGAGACAAAGGCGCAGACGUGCAAUAGGGCCCCACUCAAAGGUUUCUUUUUAGAUUAAGACCGUGUGUAAACCUUUUUUAAUGUCUCUUGUUGCUUCACACCAUCCGGGCACUUAAUACAACCCAGAGGGAUACUAGCGUUAUUGGCAUUUCGUCAUGCCAGAUUAAUGCAUGUACCUGGAAACUCAGGGCUCAUUAUCGAGGGCGUUACUUAGCCCAGUAUAUGUUGUAAAGUCCAAAUACCUUAGGGAGUGUUCGGCGUUGCGAGUUUGGCCUUAUAUGCAUCAGCUCCGAAUCAUGCCUUUAGUCAAUAGUUGGGUUUGCCCAGCUCUCGUGUUUUGCUACCUUAUGUUCCACUCUAUCGGCUAAGGCGGCACCGGGAGAACUACUGCGAUUGUGCCCUGGUUCAUCUGGAUAAGCACCUCAGUAGAGAAAGCCAAAAACUGACUAUCAUGAUAAAGCGAGAGACUGGUCAACCACUCGAUGACUCAGCGGAAUCAUUGCCAUUCCUCCGCAUUAACGAAGGACCGGUUUCCCGGUCAUGUACGUACGCGCAUCGUACUCGGAUGAACGCGGAAGUACCAGGGGCUAUAUAGUAGCCCCACCGUCAAACUCCUAUGGCUAAGUGAAAGUAUUAAAGCUAUAUAGUCCGAUUGCCUUGUUCGCCGCGCUAUCACCUCCUUAAUGGACCAAGACGUUGGAUCAAGUGUGAUUACAUGCUUUACCGAACACCCCCGCAUUAUAUGUGUGGAGGCUGAAGCCGACGACUGCAAACUUUCAGGUUAUAUACAUACAUACAUACAUAAACGGCCGCACAGGAGGCACUAUAAUACUUUCGGGAAAAAGUAUAAACACGGCCUUUAUAAUCAAAAUAGCAUUGUUUUUACAAUUCAGAUACAUGUCACUCGAACAUGGUACUCUUCGAGCACUGAGCCUCUAUUAAAUGGGCGCCUUCUAGGACUUCUUCAAAAUAGUGCUCGGCCGGGUCCUAGCCUCCGGCCGGACCCCGGGUUGCAAUAGCGGUGGCCUCCAUACCUACCCAAUAUGUUUUAACAUGGGAAAGAGCCAUCUGCGCACCCUCUAUGCACGCCGACCUCUUUACAGCGUCGAUAUGCAGCACAACACGAAGGAAUCAUUGCACUAAACCAAAAUAACUGUUCAGCCUUCAUCCCUUCGGCCAGAGAUGAUCCACGACAGACGUCAUGGCAAGCCCGGACAACCCAUGGAGCUCGGUCCACUCGGCCAUUUGUUCAUUUAACAGCAGCGGACGCUUUGGAGUACUGAACUGCGACCAGAACAACCUUUCCACCUCAUGAUCUUUCUGAUCUUUGAAAUAUUCAGUCGCAUCAGCAGCACUCUUUGCCAAGUCCAAGUAUACGUCUGCAUCACUCCAUAAUUGAUCCAGAGGGGCAUACUCCGGAUCUCCGAACUUUGUCCACAAUAAAAAGGGCUUCCCAGCCGUGAUAUCUCCGGCUUGACGAAGCUCCUCCCUUGCUGCUCUGAUUUCAGAGCGAGUUUCCUUGGCUGCUUCCAAGGCCUUCUUUAGGUCAGCCGCUUUCGCUUGGCUUUCCUUUUCGAGGAGCUCAUAUCGGCCGGUGGCAUCUUUCAGCUAAAUAGCCAUCUUGGCUAUUUUAUCUUCGCUCUGGCGAUGAGCAGCCUGUUCGGCUUUUAACUCUUCGGCCACCUUUAGGGCGGCCGCAUCACUUAUCCUGGCUUGUUCCUUGGCUCCGGCAAGUUCUGCCCGAAGGGUCUCCACGGCGGCAGCUCCAUCUGCAGUCACAACAUAUUAUAGAUACUAGCAUCAUGAUCCUCUUAAUAUUUGCUGACCACCCGAAAAUACAUACCCUGUGCCUCGUCAAGCUUCUUGUUCACAAGCACGAUGUCGGCAUCCGCCACGUCAAGCUGUCGCCUCAGUUAGGCAAAAUCAGUAGUCCGGUCAGCCGCCGGACCCUCAGCCGCCUGCACAUGAAAGCAGCGCGAUCAUUACCUGGGACUAUGAUCCUCUGUUUGCCGCCUCUGGACGGCAACCAGAGUCUCAGGGGCUACUAUCUACAUAGAGCACACAUAGCGUGUACGGUACCGUCAAAAAUACAUAUUACUUUGCGUACCUCAAAGCCUCUUAGCAGACUUGUAAAAGCUUCAUUCAACCCACUUUUGGCGGAUGAAAUCCUCUCAACCACCGUACCCAUUAAGGUACGAUGCGCCUCUGAGAUAGUCGCUUGCUCUAGAAGACCCAUCAAUGUGUCCGGUUGUGCACCGGACAAUCCCGGACUCUUUCUGUUGCUCUCCUUAGGAGCCGAAUACUCCGGACUUCGGGCGGCCGAUGAAUUACCUUCUGGACUUUGUGGAUCAAGAGAAAUCCUCCGUGACGACACCUCGGGGUCGUCCGCCCCAUGAGGCGGGGAGGCAGGAGGAGGUGUUUCGCUCUCCAUCAUCUCCGGAAGAAGAUCCCUCGAAGACGAACUCUGUCGAGAAGGGCUACGAGCCGGACUACAAGAUAUAUGUCUCAGUCAUUAUUCUCAAAGAUAAAGCAGGAUAUAUUUACCAAAGCACUUUUGCUCACUUACAGCUCGGUUGAGGGCUGGCCCCCUUGAGGGCACUGUGCGGUAAGGAUGCCCUCUGGGGCAGGGCCCCCUGGCGAAGGUUUCUUCCCUCGUUUGGAAACCUCCAUUUCCAAGUCUUCAGAGGUGGCCCUCUUCUUCCCGUGGGGAGAAGGGAUUCUAGAUUCACCUCCCCGAUUAUCCUCCUUCGUGGAGACACUAAUUCCCCCGGUUUGGAUGUGUAAUGUAUGAAGCCCGCUUUCGGCUUCUCUAUUCCUCCCUUCAUCUUCUCCUGAUUGCACUUGAUAGGGUGCGCGCUCAAGCAUCCUGGUUAGUACAGGAUCCGGCGAGCCUUCGGGAAGGAGUGCCGAACACCUGAUCCUCUCCGCCUUUCUUAUCCAGUCCUGGCCGAGAGCAAUUUUUCAGAAUGAUGUUGUAACAAAUAUAAAGACGGCAGGUUUGGUCGUGGAAUUACUUACUUGGGUAUCCAGACGGUUGCAGUUGAGACCCGCAUCCUCGAUGGUGUCCGGACACUUUAUUCUUGAUCCGAAGAACAAUCCAUACAUCCCUUCGAGCGUCACGCCGAAGAAUUGUUGAAUAGUUCACGGUCCUUCCGGGUUGAACUCCCACAUACGGAGAGAUCAAUGUUGGCAUGGCAGGACCCGACGAACUAGCAUUACUUGCAUUACCUUGACAAGACUGACAUCCCUCUUGAGGAGAUCUCAUAUGCGGCUUUGCAAUGUUAGCACGUCAUUAACUAGCACCCAGUCCAGUCCCUUGUUGACCCAUGACGCCAGUUGGGGCGGAGGGCCCGAACGGAAGGCGGGGGCGGCCGCCCGCUUUGUACCUCGGGGAGCUGUGAUGUAAAACCACUCCUGUUGCCAUAAGUCGGACACCUCUGAGAAGGAACCCUCUGGACAUAGGGCGUUGGCACCUUUGCUUAUUAUAGCGCCUCCGCACUCCGCGUGUUGCCCGUCGAUCAUCUUCGGCUUCACAUUGAAUGUCUUGAGCCAUAAGCCGAAGUGUGGGGUGAUGCGGAGGAAGGCCUCACACACGACGAUAAACGGCGAGAUGUGAAGGAUGGAAUCUGGAGCUAGAUCAUGGAAAUCUAGCCCGUAAUAGAACAUGAGCCCUCUAGCAAAGGGAUCAAGACUAAAGCCUAGCCCUUAGAGGAAGUGGGAAACAAAUACGACACUCUUGUUGGGUUCGGGCAUGGGGAUGACCUGCCCUUGAGAAGGCAGCCUGUGCGGGAUUUCGGCGGUCAGAUACCCGACCUCCCUGAGCUGCUUGAUGUCCUCCUCUGUAACAGAGGAAGGCACCCACCAGCCUUGAAGGUUGGAUCCGGACAUGGUUGAAGGUCCAAAGCACUUAGCCUAAAGCCUUGGGUGUUGGAACUCGAGGUGGGGGAAGGGGAGAAUCGAGCGUGGGAAGAAAAGGACAGGCCUUGGCCCCUUUAUAAAGAGGGUGAAUAUCAAGCGUCGUCCGCGUGGCCGUUUGGAACUUGCCUAAAAUCAGGAGUCAUACUAACAAGCACGGUUGGGUUACCCACACCCGUAUUGAUGAGAAUCCCGUGAUAAGGGGAACAAGAUCUCUGCUUCGACAAGACGUGCCAAUAAAACCGCCUCGCAACACGUGCAGCGGCAGGCUGGGAAAAACGGUUCAUACAAACCGGGCCGCGGCGUGACGUCACGUUAUGAAAAGAUGUCAGCAGAUUAGAUUUGUGGAAUAUUGUUCUUUCUAUGAUGGUAUGUGGAAUUUGUUUUGCAGAGCCGGACAUGAUCCUUUUGUUCAAAAUAUUCCAUGGAGUAUUCGAAGAAGGAACCCGCCUUGCAAUGCCGAAGACAAUCUGCGCGCUGGACUCAUUGUCAUUGAAGCCUGGUUCAGGGGCCACUGAGGGAGUCCUGGAUUAGGGGGUCCUCGGACAGCCGGACUAUAUACUUUGGUCGGACUGUUGGACUAUGAAGUACAAGAUUGAAGACUUUGUCCUGUGUCCGGGUGGGACUCUCCUUUGCAUGGAAGGCAAGCUUGGCAAUCCGGAUAUGUAGAUCUCCUUCUCCGUAACUGACUCUGUGUAACCCUAGCCCCCUCCGGUGUCUAUAUAAACCGGAGGGUUUGGUCCAUAGGACAUCAACAAUCAUAAUCAUAGGCUAGCUUCUAGGGUUUAGCCUCUAUGAUCUCAUGGUAGAUCAACUCUUGUAAUACUCAUAUCAUCAAGAUCAAUCAAGCAGGAAGUAGGGUAUUACCUCCAUCGAGAGGGCCCGAACCUGGGUAAACAUUGUGUCCCCUGCCUCAUGUUACCAUUAGCCUUAUACGCAUAGUUCGGGACCCCCUACCUGAGAUCUGCCAGUUUUGACACCGUCAGCAGCGCCCCCCAUCUUUCCUUCUCCCUCUCCACCUCUUUCCCUUUCUCCCUCUCUUGGAAAAGGAAGGGGACUCCAACUAGGAUUGGGAAUCCUAGUUGGACUCCCCUAUAGCCGUGCCCCUCCUAGGCCGGCCUCCUCCUCCUCCCUCCUUUAUAUACGGGGACAAGGGGGCACCCCAAAACACAACAGUUGUUCUCUUAGCCGUGUGCGGUGCGCCCUCCACAGUUUAACACCUCGAUCAUAUCGUCGUAGUGCUUAGGCGAAGCCCAACAACACUGUCACCACGCCGUCGUGCUGACGGAACUCUCCCUCGUCCUCAACUAGAUCAAGAGAUCGAGGGACGUCAUCGUGCUAAACUUGUGCUGACCACGAAGGUGCCGUAUGUUCGGUACUUUGAUCAGUUGAAUCGUGAAGACGUUUGACUACAUCAAGUGCAUUACUAAACACUUCCGCUUUCGGUCUACGAGGGUACAUGGACACACUCUCCCAUCUCGUAACUAUGCAUCUCCUAGAUAGAUCUUGCAUGAUCGUAAGAUUUUUUUGAAUUACUACAUUUCCCAACAGUGGCAUUCGAGCCAGGUUUAUGUGCAGAUGUUUUAUGCACGAGUAGAACACAUAGAGUUGUGGGCGAUAAUAGUCAUACUGCUUACCACCAAUGUCUUACUUUGAUUCGGCGGUAUUAUUGGAUGAAGCGGCCCGGACUGGCAUUACAUGACCGCAUUCAUGAGACUGGUUCUAACGACGUGCUUUUGCACAUAGGUGGCUGGCGGGUGUCUAUUUCUCCAAGUUUAGUUGAAUUGAAUUUGACUAUGGCCGGUCCUUGUUGAAGGUUAAAACAACACACUUGAUGAAUAAUCAUUGUGGUUUUGAUGCGUAAGUAAGAACGGUUCUUGCUAGAAGCCCAUACCAGCCACGUAAAACUUGCAACAACAAAGUAGAGGACGUCUAACUUGUUUUUGCAGGGCUUGUUGUGAUGUGAUAUGGUCAAGACAUGAUGUGAUAUAUAUUGUUGUAUGAGAUGAUCAUGUUUUGUAACAGAGUUAUCGACAACUGGUGGGAGCCAUAUGGUUGUCACUUUAUUGUAUGAAAUGCAAUCGCCAUGUAAUUGCUUUACUUUAUCACUAAGCGGUAGCAAUCGUCGUAGUAGCAAUAGUUGGUGAGAUGACAACGAUGCUACGAUGGAGAUCAAGGUCUCAAGCUGGUGACGAUGGAGAUCAUGACAAUGCUUCGGUGAUGGAGAUCAUGAGCACAAGAUGAUGAUGGCCAUAUCAUGUCACAUAUUUUGAUUGCAUGUGAUGUUUAUCUUUUAUGCAUAUUAUUUUGCUUAGUAUGGCGGUAGCAUUAUAAGAUGAUCCCUUACUAAAUUUCAAGGUAUAAGUGUUCUCCCUGAGUAUGCCCCGUGUCUAUAGUUCGCCGAGACACCACGUGAUGAUCGGGUGUGAUAAGCUCUAUGUUCACAUACAAUGGGUGCAAGCCAGUUUUGCACAUGUAGAAUACUCGGGUUAAACUUGACAAGCCUAGCAUAUGCAGAUAUGGCCUCGGAACACGGAGACUGAAAGGUCGAACGUGAAUCAUAUAGUAGAUAUGAUCAACAUAGUGAUGUUCACCAUUGAAAACUACUCCAUCUCACGUGAUGAUCAGACAUGGUUUAGUUGAUUUGGAUCACGUGAUCAUUUAGAUGACCAGAGGGAUGUCUCUCUAAGUGGGAGUUCUUAAGUAAUAUGAUUAAUUGAACUUUAGUUUAUCAUGAACUUAGUCCUGAUAGUUUUUGGAUGUCUAUGUUGUUGUAGAUCAAUGGCCCGUGCUACCGUUCCCUUGAAUUUUAAUGCAUUCCUAGAUAAACCUAAUCUGAAAGAUGAUGGUAGCAAUUACGCGGGCUGGGUUUGUAACUUGAGGAUUAUCCUCAUUGCUGCACAGAAGAAUUACGUCAUGGAAGCACCGCUAGGUGUACCACCUGCACCAGCAACUGCAGACACUGUGAAUGCCUAACAGACGCGUGUUGAUGACUACUCGAUUGUUCAUUGUGCCAUGCGUUACGGCUUAGAAUCGAGACUUCAACGAUGUUUUGAACAUCAUGGAGCAUAUGAGAUGUUCCAAGAGUUGAAGUUAAUAUUUCAAGCAAAUGCCCGAGUUGAGAGAUAUGAAGUCUCCAACAAGUUCUAUAGCUGCAAAAUGGAGGAGAAUAGUUCUGUCAGUGAACACAUACUCAGAAUGUUUGGGUACCUGUCGGGGAAACUGAUCCACGAACACCUAUGGGACCGGCGGACCGAGCCCCUUUCGGUUCAGCAGGGGGCGGAGGUCGCACGAAGAGCAGAUCAAGGCGAAGCACACGAGCAGUUUACCCAGCUUCGGAGCUCUCCGGAGAGAUAAUACUCCUACUGCUGCUUGUCUGAUUGUAUUGAGUUCUUGCUCGAGAGCGCUGGGUGUUACAGGACACACGAGCUCCUAACGAGACCGAGCGUGAGUGUGUUUCUGGUUUUCGAGCCGAAGCCAACCGAACCCCCCCUACGUUGCGCAUGGGCCUCCUUUUAUAUGCUCAAGGGGUCACCGACAGGUGGCAACGCAGACGAGGGUAAAAUGGAAAAAGAGGGGUGGUUGGUAUAGCUACCUGCACAGUGCAUCCUACCUAACCCUGACGGCAGGGGACAAAGGCAUUAAAUGCCCGUCUGUGUCGCCCAAAUAGUGUAAAAAGGGACCGUCAGGGGCGCCAUCACUCGCCACGAUGGCAAUCUUGUCAGCGUCACAUGCCUCCGUGCACCGCUGGCUGCACAGCCUCUCGCCACGCGCGCCUGGAAAGGCCCCAGGUCGACACGUUGGUGGAUGUGCUGGAGCGUGGGUACAGAGUGGCCGCUUGCCGCGGCAAGCGCCUUGCCGCGGUCGUUGCCUUGUCGCGUCCGGAAGCUUGUCGCUCACCGGGCCUUGCCGGGACGCGUGGCGCGUCGCGGCAAGUUCCUUGAGGUUCCUUGGUUGGCCUUCCCGGCAAGCUCCUCUUGCCGGGGCCUUGUCUCCUUGGCUUGAAUACUUUGUUCUUGAAUGGCUCCAAGGGAACCACAGAGGACCGUGGCGGUCACCCAGCAAGCCUUGCCGCGGGGUGCUGCGACUGCCCGUGCACAAGUUCGGGAUACUAGGGUACCCCUACUCUAGUACACCGACAGGAGCCCCCGGGCAUGGGCCACACACGGUGCCGAGCGCUGUUGGGCCAGGCCCAAAAAAGGGCACGGGCACGCGCGCCCUGGGUUAUGUCGUUUCUUACUCCGCAUCCACCGCGCCCUCCCCCAACGGCAUGCGUCGAAUGCGGCAUCGUGGGAGAGAUCGUGGGUGGUUUCUUUAUUCGGAAGGGCGAAACGUCCGCCCCCUCCCUCUUUAUAAGCAGGGGAAACAGGGGCAGUUCGCCCAUCUCGCCGGUUGUUACUCCAAUUUCAGAAAUCUCCACCGCUCCCCCCUUCUUCCGGAAGCUGAAAGAGAGUAGCGCUCCGCCCCCCAUUGCCACCAGCACCACCAACGCCGUCGAUCUCCCCCACCACUUCCGCCAUGGCUUCGAAAGCCGACAAGGGGAAGGGCGUGAAAUCGGUCGAGGCGCAGCGGCUCGCGGCGCUGCGAAAGGAGCGGGCCAUCUUCCCCCCUCAGCUCGCCGCGAAGGAGCUGAGGGAGUACUACUACCUCUUCUGGUCGACGGAGACGCGAGCGCAUCCGCGCACGAAGGUACUCCUGGCCGCCGCUUCGGAAUUGGCUCCAAAUGGGUACCCCUUCUUCGCGUUGUUCUUCUACUGCGGGCUCUGCCCGCCUUUCUCUGAAUUCUUCUGUGACAUCAUGAACACCUACGGGUUCCGCCUCCUUGACUUCACCCCCAACGCCGUUCUGACCAUGGUAGUUUUCGCACAUCUCUGCGAAAACUUUGUCGGAGUCCACCCAAACGUAGCCCUUUUUCGCCACUUCUUUAUGCCCCAGGUUGAGAGAGGGGAGCCUCUUGCCGGCGGGAUCGCUUGGAUCUCGAGGGUCGGCAAGAAGGAAGCUUAUCUGGAGGGAGAGCUCCGCAGCAAGUGGGAGGAGUGGAGAGCAAAGUGGUGCUGGGUUGUCAAGGAGAACCCGUAGCCAUUUACUGCCCUACGCCAAGCCCCAAUAGUGCGUGGCAAUUAUUGGAGCAACGUGGCCCCGGAAGAUGACAGGCUGAAGAUCGCCGUCACCCGGAUCCUACGCCUUAGGCUUGCCGGGCUCACCAUAGGCGCCGUUGGCGCAGAUUUUCUUCGCCGCCGCAUCGCCCCCUUGCAGGAGAGGAGGAGACCCGCCUGGGAGUUCCAGAACUCGGCGGAUAUCAUGAGGCUGCGCCCGGGCCUCAACUUCAACUUCACUGUCCGGGAGCUGGACGCGAUGCUCCUGGAACUGUUCAAGCGCGAUCCUCAACAUCCAUUCAUGUUGCCGAGGAGCGUCGUUCCGCCGUGUAACAAUUCCUCGCUCGACCGCAUCCGCGCAAUGAUGCCGCUGUGCGAUUCGCAUGGGAUUGUUCCAACUUGGCAAGAGCCUGCAGACGAUGUCGUGCAGGAUUUCUUCGACGGCUUGGUUGAAGUGCCGGUCCGCGCCGAUGAACAGAAGAGCCUCACCCGCGACACCACCGAUGCUGAGAUGCAGCGCAUCGCCACCAGGCUGGAAGAGGCGGCGGCAGCCGCUGCCGCGGGCGAGUUUGGAUUCACCAUGGAGGAGGCAGAGGCAGCAGAGGCGGCAAGCCUUGUCGAGCGAGAGGAGUUUGCCGGCGAGGAAGAGCUUGCCGGGCCUGAAGCUGAGUCGAGCGAGCCCGCCGAGGGCGUGGGCGACUCGUUGGAGAUCGGCUCUUCCUCCCCUCUACCUUCAGUCAGCUCGCCACAAGCGGAGCCCCCAGCUCCGCCAAGAAGGCGCCUCCGCAAGGCCGGCGACAUAGCGGGGCGGCAGACGGGUCAGCAGCCGUCGUGCCGCGCGACUCGCUCUACCACGGCAAGCACUAUUGCCGCGGGAGCAUCUCACGCCGCUGCGGCAACUAGAGCGGGGUCUUCCCGGUCCGCUGCUACUUCUCCUGCCAAGCGGACGAGGGAGCCUACUCCUCCGCCUCGUCGCACCGGAGGUGAGCCGGACUUCGAUCUUUCCGCGCUCAGCUCCGACGAGGAAGAAUAAGAGUAAGAUUCUUCGCAGUACUUGUAGUUCUUCAAUUCUUGCUGUUUUUGUCUUGUAUCUGAUUUGCUUUACUCUGAACUCAUUCUUUUUCAGGACGCUGGCCCAGAGAGCAGCAAAGAGAGCCAAGGUCCCGGUGAUUGUCAUUGAGGACGAACCCACCGCGACGGCAGAGGACACGUCCGAGACUACCUUGCCGGACCCGGCAUCCAUUCCUCAAAGCAGCUCCCAGCGCAGCCCCCCACGUAAGUAUAUGGUUUACUUCAUGCUGUCAAGCGCGCAUGGGUACUCUUUCUUUGCUGAUAUCUGACUGCUGGUUUGUGCAGGAGCAGAGCAGCCUCAUCAGGAGUGCCCGGAAGCCGCUCCCGAAGUGCCAUCUGCUUCGACUACACCGCCAAGGGAGGAUUCCCCGGCAAGGGAGCAUUCUCCGAAAAGGGAGAAUUCUCCGGCAAGGGGCAGUUCUCCGGCAAGAGGCAGUUCCCCGGCAAGGGACAGCACUGGCAACCCUCCGGUGGUUGAGACCAUGACUGCAGAUCCCAGUACAGGUAACCCCCUUGCUUGAAAACUUCCCUUGGGUUCUUCUUCUUCUGAUUCUCCUUUUGGAUAUUUGCUUGACUUUUCUCCCUUUUCCGUUCGUCAGAUCCACCUGCCACGGAGCCGAUGGAAACCGAGGUCGCCGGCAAGGAGGGCGCGCGCGGCAGUACCGACGACGCCGUCGCCACCGAAGGAGAGGCCGACGCUGAUGAGCCUGCCGGCGGAGAGGCCGCCGAAGCUGCUGCCGCAGAAGCCGGCGAGGGAUCCGGUGAUUGCACUGACGGCCCCGAGGCCGCAGGAGCGUCUGGCGCUACACCGAUCGCCGAUCCCUCCGCCGCUGCUGCAGCGCCAGGCUCCGAAGAGCCCCAGCCCGGCGCCUAUUUGAAGGCCGGCGACGGUAUCUUCAUCAAGCUUCCCUGGGCGUCAAGCUCCAGGGCGCCGGUCGAGGGAGAAAUCCUGGACGGAGAGGUGCUCGCCUCCGCUGGGCUGACGCUGGUCGACGCGCCAAGCAGCAGCAGCGAUGAGCCUGAGGAGGAGCGGCUGCUGCGGAAGCUGAUGUCGCUCUACCGCGCCCGACAAGCCAAGCUGGCAUCCCGAGAAGCACUUGUCGCGAAGGCGGGAGUGGAUAUCGAGAAGCGCGCGGAGGAGCUCCGGGGUCUCAGGCAGGAAGCUCUCCGGUCCCUGGCGGAGGAGCGGGAGCAACUUCUCGAGGAGCGGAAAGCCUUCCUCCUCGAGAAGGCUGAAGUUGAAGAGAAGCAAUGGCUUGUCGCCGAAAAUCUAUUUGCGCAGGAAGGAGAGUUGGCGCAGCGCAAGGUCAACCUUGACAGCCACGAGGAGGAGCUUGCCGAGCGCGAGCAAGCAAUUGGCGGGGCUCUCAAGGAGGCAAGGGAUGCCGCCACAGCUGCCGAGGCUGCCAAGAAGGAGCUGGAGACGAAGGUGGCGCAGCUGGAAGCCGAUCUCAGGGCGAGCGGCGAGAAGCUUGCCGAGCUCAGGCGUGAGCGCGAGAAGGACGCUGCCGCUCAUGGUGAGCUGCAGGGUCUUCUCGCUGAGAGGAGCAAGGAGCUCAGUGCCGCCAAGGAUUCCAAUGCAGAUCUCGAGUUGAAUCUGGCUACUUUGACUCAGACGCUGGACGGCGCCAGGGAGCGGGAGGUGACCUUGUCGGAGAAGAUCAAGGCCGACGAGGGGCUGCUAGCGAAUGCUGCUGCCGCCCAGAAUGCAUUUAGGGAGACUGUGGAGCACUGGACCAAGGGUCUCGUGAAUGUUGCCGCAGUCAUCGACGGGGAGCUGGCGCAGCUGGGGAUGGAGGACCUCGAGUACUCCUCCGAUGAGCGCCUCCAACCCAGCGCCAAGCUCAGCUUGUUCUUCAAAGGCGUGGAGACGGCCCUCCAGCGACUCCGGGAGAAGAUCCCAAAGCAGCUGGCCGACGAGUCGCGCAAGAUCUGCGCGGGAGUUCUUCAAAAGGUGCUGGUGAAGGUGGCCUUCCGCAACCCAGGCCUCAACCUCACCAACGUCCUCAGGCCCCUGCCGCCAAAUGCUGAUCUGGAAGCGCUCAAGGCCCUUGUCGCACCCAUUGUGGACAAGGUGAGCGAGAUCAAGAGGGUUGAGGGAAAUCGCGUAGAUUAGGCCGCGCGUUUUCUCUUUUUCUUGUCGCUGUUGAUCAUGUUAUGAGAACAAUCUAUUAGAGCUGCUACAAGCUAUCUUGUAAUAUAACUCUAUUUUGGGUAGUGAUUGCUAUGUUAUUUCCUUUACUUGAUUCCUUCCAUUGUAUGUUUUGCCCUACGCUUUUAGGAAACUUGUCGGUGCAGGCACCUUAGCCGCGAGCGUUGAGUGCGGGACGUCAGCAGCCUGCUGGCGGUGCCGCUACCGGCAAGAAACCUUGUCGCAACUAGUCGCAGCACACUUAAGUUGUUGAGCGGACUCGAAACAAAGUAAGGGCGCAACUAGCUACGAGUUGGUUCCUCCGCGCACAGGUUUUCUAUACAAAGCACGGUCGUUCGAGGAAGAUAACUUAAAAAUUUAAAAACCGAUUGCUCAAACUUUGGCAACUUAGCUUUUUCUGUCGCUUGUUUUCCGGUAAGGCGGAACUUCCUUGAACGAUGCCUGGUCCACACCAUUAUCUUCUCCUUUCCCCCCGGCAAACUUGUGGGCGAGGGAACCUUCCUUUCCUUUUUGAGAAAAAGAAAGAAGAGAAAAUAAAGACAUGGAGCCUUAUGGCUCAUUAUUGCUUACCGGGGGUAAGUGCUGCACAAAGUGUCAGAUAGCGCAUGCAAAGAUAAAGUAGAAAGCAUGAAAUUGACAAGAUGUGCAGCGCACAUGAGCUUUACUUAUGCACGGGGUCUGUGCCCGGCUUUGUACAAAGGAUUACAUGCAACGUCGGCAAGACUUGUACAAAAGGUGCUUGCCGGAACAGGUUCUGGCAACCGCGCCCUACGGGUAAAACUUACGAAGAUGCUCAAUGUUCCAGGAGUUGCUCACCGGAGUGCCAUCUUCGGUCUCAAGGCGGACAGCGCCAGGCCUAGUGUCUCGUUUCACCCGAUAAGGGCCUUCCCACUUUGGCGUCAACUUGUUGGAAUUCUUGGCGGACUGAACGCGCCGAAGAACAAGGUCGCCUUCCUCGAAACUUCUGGCAUUAACUUUGCGGCUAUGGUAGUGGCGCAAAGCUUGCUGGUAUCGAGCAGCUCGUACAGCAGCCUGAAGCCGGUCCUCCUCAAGGAGCAGCGCAUCAUCUUGUCGCAGCUGCUCUUGCUCAAGCUCAUCAUAAGAGAGCACUCGAGGUGAUCCAUAUACGAGUUCCGUGGGGAGAACUGCCUCUACUCCGUAGACUAGAGCGAAAGGUGUCUGGCCAGUGGCUCGAUUUGGCGUCGUCCUGAUCGACCAAAGAACCACCGGCAGCUCCUCAAUCCAGUUCCUUCCGCACUUGUGGAGCCUGUCGAAAGUCCUGGUCUUGAGCCCGCGCAGCACUUCAGCAUUUGCCCUCUCCGCUUGACCGUUGCUUCUCAGAUGAGCAACAGAAGCGAAGCAGACCUUGGCGCCAAGAUCUUGGACGUACUGCAUGAAGGUGCGGCUUGUGAAUUGCGUGCCGUUGUCGGUGAUGAUCCUGUUAGGGAUCCCGAAACGGCAAACAAUCGACCUGAAGAACUUGACUGCUGAUUGUGCUGUCACCUUCCUAACUGGUUCCACUUCCGGCCACUUUGUGAACUUGUCGAUUGCAACGUACAAGUACUGAAAGCCCCCGACAGCUCGGGGAAAGGGGCCGAGGAUGUCGAGCCCCCAGACCGAAAAUGGCUAGGAUAAAGGGAUCGUCUAGAGAGCUUGAGCUGGCUGGUGUAUCUGUUUGGAGUGGAACUGGCAUGCUUCACACUUGGUUACUUGUGCAGUUGCAUCCUGGAGGGCUGUCGGCCAAAAGAAACCUUGCCGGAAAGCUUUGCCGGCAAGUGCUCUUGCGCCAAUGUGGUGACCACAUAUGCCUCCAUGUAUCUCUGCCAAUAGCUUUUGUCCAUCUUCCCGAUGAAUGCACUUCAAUUUCACACCGUUGAGUCUUCUUCUGUACAGUGUGUUGUCGACAAACUGGUACAUAGUUGACUGCCAGGCUACUUUUUCCGCUUCUUCUUGCUCUUCGGGAAGUUCUCCUGUCUGAAGGAAAUGGACAAUCUGCUGUGCCCAUGCUGGAGCUUGCGGCUCGACAACAAGGACUAAAGGCACAUCUGCUGCUGUGGGAACAUCCGCUUCUACAGCGAGAACAUGCGGCUCAGCCGGAGCUUGAUGUUCCCCGGUAAGCUUGCCGGAGCAAAACUUGUCGGGAGCGUCUGCUACGAUGGAACAAACCCUAAGGCUUGCCGGAGCAGACUGCUCCUCAGCGCUCUUGGUGUUGAUCUUGAGGACCUUCUUGGCGGCGGCUUCGGGUAGCUUUGCCGGAAAAUAGUCACCAGAAACCAACUUCCUCUUCUUGCUCUGUCAGUUGAUGGCAUCACAGAUGGUUGAGUCAGCUUGAGCACGAAGAUCCCUGGUUCCACAGGUAACUUCAAUGCGGCGCACUUUGACAGGCCAUCGGCAAUGUCGUUCUGAGCUCUUGGAACAUGUUCCAUCUGUAGGCCGUCAAAGUGCUCUUCUAGCUUUCUCACUUCAUCAACGUAGGCCUCCAUCAAUAGACUCUGAUAAUUCUUGUUCACUUGGCGGACGACAAGCUGUGAGUCACCCCUGACAAUAAGCUUCCUGAUCCCAAGGUCCGCUGCGAUCCUGAGACCGGCAAGCAAACCUUCAUACUCUGCAGUAUUGUUCAUUGCUUGCUCCUUGGGAAAGUGCAUCUGGACUACGUACUUGAGGUGCUCUCCGGUGGGUGCGACAAGUAGCACGCCCGCACCGGCGCCUUGCAGCGAGAAGGCACCAUCAAAGUACAUCAACCACUCUUUGCCUGCUUCCUUGACGGGGAUGCUCGUUUCUGGAAUUUCUUCAUCUUGUGUUGGCGUCCAUUCUGCUAUGAACUCCACCAAUGCCCUGCUUUGGAUAGUUGAAGUGCUCUCAAACUUGAGGCCAAAGGUUGACAGUUCCAGCGCCCACUCGACAAUCCUGCCUGUUGCUUCUGGAUUUUGUAGUAUCCUCUUCAGCAGAAAACGAGUGACGACUGUGAUCUCAUGUGCUUGGAAGUAAUGGCGCAGCUUUCUCGAGGCCAUGAGAAGGCCGAAAAGCAGUUUCUGCACUCCAGAGUACCUUGACCUAGCCCCUACAGAAGGGAACUGACAAAGUAAACUGGGCGCUGCACCAUUCUUUUCUGCAUCUCUUCGUGUGCCUGCGCAGAUCCAUCUUUGUCGGGACCAGAGCUUGUCGGUGAAGUCCCUUGCUUGUCGCUGGGUGCAUCUGCCGUGGUUGCUGGCUCAUCAUCCGCCUCCCUCUCUGCCACUAACGCAGCACUAACCACUUGAUUGGUUGCCGCUAUAUAUAGCAGCAACUUCUCUUGUGGCUUAGGUGCGACAAGUGUUGGAGUGGAGGACAUGUAUCUCUUCAAGUCCUGCAGCGCAGCCUCCGCCUCCGGAGUCCAUUUCAUUGGACCUGCCUUUUUCAAUAUUUUGAAAAACGGCAGGGUGCGCUCAGCAGAUCUAGAGAUAAACCUGCUGAGAGCAGCCACGCAACCGGCAAGUCUUCGUACAUCCUUGACGCGCUUUGGUGCUUCAAUCUGCUCAAUGGCCUUGAUCUUGUCGAGAUUGGCUUCAAUUCCCCGCUGAGACACGAAGAACCCGAGAAGCUUGCCGGAGGGGACUCCAAACACACACUUCUCGGGGUUCAGCUUGAGGUUGAUCUUGCGCAGAUUUGCAAAUGUUUGGUCUAAAUCUUGAAUCAGGGUCGCCCUGUCCUUGCUCUUGACCACUAUGUCAUCCAUGUUGGGUUCCACAUUUCUGUGCAUUUGUGGCUCAAAAGCGUGGUGGACUACCCUUGCAAAUGUUGAACCAGUAUUCUUUAAACUGAAAGGCAUCCGUACGAAACAGUAUGUGCCACAUGGGGUGAUGAAUGCGGUCUUCUCCUCAUCCUCUUCUGCCAUGAAGAUCUGAUGGUAUCCUGAGUAUGCAUCAAGAAAUGAAAGCAAGUCACAUCCGGCCGUGGAGUCAACAAUCUGAUCGAUGUGCGGCAAGGGAAAUGGGUCUUUGGGACAAGCUUUAUUGACAUCGGUAAAGUCGAUACAAAGCCUCCAUUUCCCGUUAGCCUUGCGCAUGACUACAGGAUUGGCCAACCACGUAGGAUGGAGCACUCCUCUGACAAGGCCUGCUGCUUCCAACUUCUUGAUUUCUUCUGCAAUGAAUUCUUGGCGCUCCAUUGCCUGCUUCCUGACUUUCUGCUUGACGGGCCGCGCAUGAGGACAGACGGCCAGGUGGUGCUCAAUUACUUUCCUGGGAACACCGGGGAUGUCAGACGGUUGCCACGCAAACACGUUGACGUUCGCCCGCAGGAAAGCAACGAGCGCGCUUUCCUAUUUAGGGUCGAGAGCGGACACCUUCUUGGUCUCUGGUGGAGCUGCCAUUGCCUUCUUACACUUGCCGGUGGAGCUUGAUGGUGCGUCCUCGACAGUAGCGCAGCACUCCGAAGAGGUGCGCUUGCCGGAGUGGGCAUCAGAACUCUUGCCGGACUUGGUCUUUUUCUUCCCCCCGGGAGCUUCAGCGGCAAGUGACCUGCGAUCUGUUGCAGCUGCUGCUUCCCGGUAGAUCUUGUCGGCGCAGAUAAGAGCAUCCUUCUUGUCGCUAGGGACAAAGAUGACGCUUAUCGAGCCUGGCAUCUUCAGCAUGUUGUAUGCAUAGUGAGAGGCUGCCAUGAAUUUGGCGAGUGCUGGACCGCCGAGUAUCCCAUUGUAAGGCAAUGGAAAGUCAGCAACGUCAAAAGUGACCCUCUCAGUCCUGAAGUUCAACUCGCUGCCAAAUGUCACCGGCAACGUGAUCUUUCCCUUUGGCUUGCUCCUUCCCGGAUUGAUUCCUUGGAAUGUACCGAUCUCUUCGAGCUCGCUGUCAGGGAUUUGGAGUUUCUGGAGCACCGCGGAGGAGAUCAGAUUCAAGCCGGCCCCGCCGUCAACUAGCAUCUUAGUGACCUUGAGGUUGCGGAUAGUUGGCGAAACCAACAUCGGCAAGCACCCGACCGCAGUUAUGCGAUCAGGGUGGUCCUCAAUAUCAAAGAUGAUAGGCGUGCUGGACCAUUUCAGAGGCCUGCGUGACUCGACGGGUGGUUCUGCCGCAUUGACUUCCCGCACCCAUUGUUUGAGUUGGCGGUGUGAAGUAUGCAGAGAAGCACCGCCGUCAACGCACGGGACCUCUGUGGCUUUCUGGAACUCCUGCUCAUCGGCCUCGUCAUCAUCCAUAUCUUCAUCGUCGUCGUCAUCUUCAUCCUUGUCGCGGCCGCGGGGAGGUCUGUCUCCUUGCCGCUGCUUGGCCUUGCCGCGGCGUCCUCCCCGGCCGGGGCGCUUCUUGCCGGAUCCUCCAGCACCCUCCUGGGCCUUCUCCUUGUCGCGUCGCUCGUAUUCAGCCUUUUGCUGUUCGACAAGCUGCUCGACCUUCUUGCAGCUCUGGAGGUCAUGGCCCUUGGUGCGGUGGAUCUUGCAGUACUGCUUGUUGGUGCCGUCCUGCUUGUCGGCGACCGCCAGAGCCUGGUAGUUAGUGCCUGCGGCAAUCUCCUUGCUGGAGCUACCAGCUUUGGCUUUCUUGGUGCCACCUCCGUUGCCGGACUGCUCAACGACUAACACAUCUUUGCCUUUCUUCUUCCUGUUGUUCCGCCGCCGGUUUUUCUUUGCCGGGGCAACAUCCUCACUAUCAGAUCCUCCUGCUCCUGUAUUCUCUCCGGGGAGUUUCCUCCCUUCCUUAGCACGUGCACACUUGUCGGCCAGGGCAUAUAGCUCUCUGACGUCUCUGAUCUUGCACAUCGCCAUCUCCUCCCGCAUCCUGCGGUUUCGCACGUUCUGAUGGAACGCGCUGAUUACCGCAGCAGGGUGGACAUCUGGGAUGUUGUGCUGUAUGUGGCUGAAUCUCUGAAUAUACUUGCGUAGGGGCUCUCCUUCCUUCUGGGCGAGCAGAUGAAGGUCACUCUCUUGGCCAUGGGGCUUGUGGCCGCCUGUAAAGGCGCCGACAAACUGAUGGCAUAGAUCGGCCCAAGAGGAUAUGGAGCCGUCCGGCAAGUGCAUGAGCCAGGAUCUGACGUUGGGUUUGAGCACCAGUGGGAAGUAGUUGGCAAGGAUCUUGUCGUCCCGCCCCCCGGCAGCUUGCACCGCAAUGGUGUAGAUGCUGAGGAACUCCGACGGAUGCGUCUUGCCGUCAUACUUCCCUGGUACGUCUGGCUUGAAAUUCUUCUUGCUGGGCCACUGGACUUGCCGCAGCUCACGAGUAAACGUAGGGCAACCUACCGCGUACGGCAAGUCGCCUGGUUCCCCUGGCGCAUGCAUGUCGACAGAGGGCCCAGCGCGCUGGUCAGAUUGACGCCGUGCUUCUCUUCGGUGCUCGAUGCGAGUACGAGCGUCUUCUUGCUGUCGUUCGUGAAGAACUUGGCGUUGAUCACGACGAGCUCGUGGAUCCGAUGAUGCGGUGGAGUCGCUGUCGAGGUGGACCCGGCGAGUCGGCGAUCUUGGCCUUCGGGACGGAGAGUGCAUGGUGGUUGCACCCCCACCAGUUUCGCCGCCACCGGCUCGCGCCUGGCAGUCCUGCUGUGGCAGCGAUGUACUCGGCUGCCGCGGAGUGUCGCCGUUGGCGAAGCCGAUGAGACUCUGAAUGGUGGUCCUCCAUUGAUCGGUCUUGUCUACCGUUGGAGGGUAAUCUAGGAGCAGUUGAGCUCGCGCCAAAGCUUCUGUUGGAGUGGUGGGCGGUAGUGGCGAACGGUGCGAGGAGCGGGAUAUGCUCAGACUUCUAACUAUGUUAGAAGGAGCAGUAUCCCGUCCGGGCGACCAUGUCUCGCUCGUGCCAGCACGUUGGCGUGCGUGCUGGUCUUGAGCGCCCCGAGAUCCACCAGCUCGAUCUUGGUCCAACAAGCGUAUGGUACUACGAAUACCAUGACGCUGUCGGUCCUGCGCCUCCUGAGAUGGGCGCGGUACAUGUACGGACGCCGAGGUCUGCGCAGCCCUGUCUUUGGACCUGGCGGCACCGUGAGCUCCCUCGUCGGCGUCUGUUCCUCCACCGGCGUCCACCCCACCACCCGCUUGCUCUGGGCGCGGUGGAAUCGACGCGGACGGACCAGAUGCCUCCGAAGCCUUCUUCUUCGGUGGCAUGUCGAUGAAGAAGAUGAAGAUCUAGCUCAUGUGGACGCCGGAUUAGGUUCACACAAUCUCGACGCCCCCCUACCUGGCACACUAAAGAUGUCGGGGAAACUGAUCCACGAACACCUAUGGGACCGGCGGACCGAGCCCCUUUCGGUUCAGCGGGGGGCGGAGGUCGCUCGAAGAGCAGAUCGAGGCGAAGCACACGAGCAGUUUACCCAGCUUCGGAGCUCUCCGGAGAGAUAAUACUCCUACUGCUGCUUGUCUGAUUGUAUUGAGUUCUUGCUCGAGAGCGCUGGGUGUUACAGGACACACGAGCUCCUAACGAGACCGAGCGUGAGUGUGUUUCUGGUUUUCGAGCCGAAGCCAACCGACCCCCCCUACGUUGCGCAUGGGCCUCCUUUUAUAUGCUCAAGGGGUCACCGACAGGUGGCAACGCAGACGAGGGUAAAAAUGGAAAAAGAGGGGUGGUUGGUACAGCUACCUGCACAGUGCAUCCUACCUAACCCUGACGGCAGGGGACAAAGGCAUUAAAUGCCCAUCUGCGUCACCCAAAUAGUGUAAAAAGGGACCGUCAGGGGCGCCACCGCUCGCCAUGAUGGCAAUCUUGUCAGCGUCGCAUGCCUCCGCGCACCGCUGGCUGCACAGCCUCUCGCCACGUGCGCCUGGAAAGGCCCCAGGUCGACACGUUGGUGGAUGUGCUGGAGCGUGGGUACAGAGUGGCCGCUUGCCACGGCAAGCGCCUUGCCGCGGUCGUUGCCUUGUCGCGUCCGGAAGCUUGUCGCUCACCGGGCCUUGCCGGGACGCGUGGUGCAUCGCGGCAAGUUCCUUGAGGUGCCUUGGUUGGCCUUCCUGGCAAGCUCCUCUUGCCGGGGCCUUGUCUCCUUGGCUUGAAUACUUUGUUCUUGAAUGGCUCCAAGGGAACCACGGAGGACCGUGGCGGUCACCCGGCAAGCCUUGCCGCGGGGUGCUGCGACUGCCCGUGCACAAGUUCGGGAUACUAGGGUACCCCUACUCUAGUACACCGACAGUACCAUAACCACUUGACUCAACUAGGAGUUAAUCUUCCUAAUGAUAGUGUCAUUGACAGAGUUCUUGAAUCACCGCCACCAAGCUAUAAAGGCUUCGUGAUGAACUAUAAUAUGCAAGGGAUGACGAAAAUGAUUCCCGAGCUCUUCGCAAUGCUAAAGGCUGCGGAGGUAGAAAUCAAGAAGGAGCAUCAAGUGUUGAUGGUCAACAAGACCACUAGUUUCAAGAAAAAAGGGCAAAGUGAAUAAGGGGAACUUCAAGAAGAAUAGCAAGCAAGUUGCUACUCCCGAGAAGAAGCCCAAGUCUGGACCUAAGCCUGAAACUGAGUGCUUCUACUGCAAAGGGACUGGUCAAUGGAAGCGGAACUGCCCCCAAGUAUUUGGCGGAUAAGAAGGAUGGCAAAGUGAAAGGUAUAUUUGAUAUACAUGUUAUUGAUGUGUACCUUACUAAUGCUCGUAGUAGCGCUUGGGUAUUUGAUAUUGGUUUUGUUGCUCAUAUUUGCAACUUGAAACAUGGGCUAUGGAUUAAAUGAAGAUUGGCUAAGGACGAGGUGAUGAUCCGUGUCGGGAAUGGUUCGAAGGUCGAUGUGAUCGCCGUCGGCACGCUACCUCUACAUCUACCUUCGGGAUUAGUUUUAGACCUAAAUAAUUGUUAUUUGGUGCCCGCGUUGAGCAUGAACAUUAUAUUUGGAUCUUGUUUGAUGCGAGACGAUUGUUCAUUUAAAUCAGAGAAUAAUGGUUGUUCUAUUUAUAUGAGUAAUAUCUUUUAUGGUCAUGCACCCUUGAUGAGUGGUCUAUUUUUAUUGAAUCCCGAUCGUGGAGAUACACAUGUUCAUAAUAUUGAAGCCAAAAGAUGCAAAGUUGAUAAUGAUAGUGCAACUUAUUUGUGGCACAACCGUUUAGGUCAUAUUGGUGUAAAGCGCAUGAAGAAACUCCAUGCUAAUAGGCUUUUGGAAUCACUUGAUUAUGAAUCACUUGGUGCUUGCGAACCAUGCCUCGUGGGCAACAUGACUAAAACUCCGUUCUCCAGAACAAUGGAAUGAGCUACUGACUUAUCGGAAAUAAUGCAUACUGAUGUAUGCGGUCCAAUGAGUGUUGAGGCUCGUGGCGGGUAUCGUUAUUUUCUUACCUUCACAGAUGAUUUGAGCAGAUAUGGGUAUAUCUACUUAAUGAAACAUAAGUCUAAAACAUUUGAAAAGUUCAAAGAAUUUCAGAGUGAAGUAGAAAAUCAUCGUAACAAGAUAAUAAAGUUUCUAUGAUCUAAUCAUGGAGGCGAAUAUUUCAGUUACGAGUUUGGUCUUCAUUUGAAACAAUGUGGAAUAGUUUCACAACUCACGCCACCUGGAACACCACAUCGUAAUGGUGUGUCCGAACAUCGUAACCGUACUUUAUUGGGCAUGGUGCAAUCUAUGAUGUCUCUUACUGAUUUACCACUAUCGUUUUGGGGUUAUGCUUUAGAGACGGCUGCAUUCACUUUAAAUAGGGCACCAUAAAAAUCCGUUGAGACGACGCCUUAUGAAUUGUGGUUUGUCAAGAAACCAAAGUUGUCGUUUCUUAAAGUUUGGGGCUGCAAUGCUGAUGUGAAAAAGCUUCAACCUGAUAAGCUCAAACCCAAAUCAGAGAAGUGUGUCUUCAUAGGAUAACCAAAGGAAACUAUUGGGUACGCCUUCUAUCACAGAUCCGAAGGCAAGAUAUUCGUUGCUAAGAAUGGAUCCUUUCUAGAGAAGGAGUUUCUCUCGAAAGAAGUGAGUGGGAGGAAAGUAGAACUUGAUGAGGUAAUUGUACCUUCUCCCGAAUUGGAAAGUAGUUCAUCACAUAAAUCAGUUCCAGUGAUUCCUACACCAAUUAGUGAGGAAGCUAAUGAUGAUGAUCAUGAAACUUCAGAUCAAGUUACUACCAAACCUUGUCGGUAUUCCAGAGUAUGGUCCGCGCCAGAGUGGUAUGGUAAUCCUAUUCUGCAAGUUAUGUUACUAGACCAUUAUGAACCUACGAACUAUGAGGAUAGCGAUGAUGAGCCCAGAUUCCGCGAAAUGGCUUGAGGCCAUGAAAUCUGAGAUGGGAUCCAUGUAUGAGAAUAAAGUGUGGACUUUGAUGGAUUUGCCCGAUGAUCGGCAAGCCAUAGAAAAUAAAUGGAUCUUCAAGAAGAAGACUGGCGCUGACGGUAAUGUUACUAUCUACAAAGCUUGUCUUGUGCGAAAGAUUUUCGACAAGUUCAAGGAGUUGACUGCGAUGAGACUUUCUCACCCGUAGUUAUGCUUAAGUCUGUCCGAAUCAUGUUAGCAAUUGCCACAUUUUAUGAUUAUGAAAUUUGGCAGAUGGAUGUCAAAACUGCAUUCCUGAAUGGAUUUCUGGAAGAAGUGUUGUAUAUGACGCAACCAGAAGGUUUUGUCGAUACAAAGGGUGCUAUCAAAGUGUGCAAGCUCCAGCGAUCCAUUUAUGGACUAGUGCAAGCCUCUCAGAGUUGGAAUAAACGCUUUGAUAUUGUUAUCAAAGCAUAUGGUUUUGUUCAGACUUUUGGAGAAGCCUGUAUUUACAAGAAAGUGAGUGGGAGCUCUGUAGCAUUUGUAAUAUUAUAUGUGGAUGACAUAUUGUUGAUUGGAAAUGAAAUAGAAUUUCUGGAUAGCAUAAAAGGAUACUUGAAUAAGAGUUUUUCAAUCAAAGACCUCGGUGAAGCUACUUACAUAUUUGGCAUCAAGAUCUAUAGAGAUAGAUCAAGACGCUUAAUUGGACUUUCACAAAGCACAUACCUUGAUAAAGUUUUGAAGAAGUUCAAAAUGGACCAGUCAAAGAAAGGGUUCUUUCCCGUGUUACAAGGUGUGAAUUUGAGUCAAACUCAAUGCCCGACCACUGCAGAAGAUAGAGAGAAAAUGAAAGCCAUUCCCUAUGCUUCAGCCAUAGGUUCUAUCAUGUAUGCAAUGAUGUGUACCAGACCUAAUGUGUGCCUUGCUAUAAGUAUAGCAGGGAGGUACCAAAGUAAUCUAGGAGUGGAGCACUGGACAGCGCACUACAAAAAAAAGACACAUCCAUGACAUUUGGGCCGAACGAAAAAAAUUUAUGUCGUACAUAUGACACUUCUAUGUCAAUAAUUGUGACAAAACCCAGUACCAUCAUAGAUGUGGUGGGCUCCUACUUCUAUGACAAAAAAUCAUGACAGAAAAUGGGCUUUUCGUCUUGGGCGGGCCGGAGACGCAGCUGCAUGACAUUCUUUGGGCCGUCCAUGANNNNNNNNNNNNNNNNNNNNNNNNNNNNNNNNNNNNNNNNNNNNNNNNNNNNNNNNNNNNNNNNNNNNNNNNNNNNNNNNNNNNNNNNNNNNNNNNNNNNNNNNNNNNNNNNNNNNNNNNNNNNNNNNNNNNNNNNNNNNNNNNNNNNNNNNNNNNNNNNNNNNNNNNNNNNNNNNNNNNNNNNNNNNNNNNNNNNNNNNNNNNNNNNNNNNNNNNNNNNNNNNNNNNNNNNNNNNNNNNNNNNNNNNNNNNNNNNNNNNNNNNNNNNNNNNNNNNNNNNNNNNNNNNNNNNNNNNNNNNNNNNNNNNNNNNNNNNNNNNNNNNNNNNNNNNNNNNNNNNNNNNNNNNNNNNNNNNNNNNNNNNNNNNNNNNNNNNNNNNNNNNNNNNNNNNNNNNNNNNNNNNNNNNNNNNNNNNNNNNNNNNNNNNNNNNNNNNNNNNNNNNNNNNNNNNNNNNNNNNNNNNNNNNNNNNNNNNNNNNNNNNNNNNNNNNNNNNNNNNNNNNNNNNNNNNNNNNNNNNNNNNNNNNNNNNNNNNNNNNNNNNNNNNNNNNNNNNNNNNNNNNNNNNNNNNNNNNNNNNNNNNNNNNNNNNNNNNNNNNNNNNNNNNNNNNNNNNNNNNNNNNNNNNNNNNNNNNNNNNNNNNNNNNNNNNNNNNNNNNNNNNNNNNNNNNNNNNNNNNNNNNNNNNNNNNNNNNNNNNNNNNNNNNNNNNNNNNNNNNNNNNNNNNNNNNNNNNNNNNNNNNNNNNNNNNNNNNNNNNNNNNNNNNNNNNNUCGACCGUAGGAGGUCCAUUUCGUCCGUUUUGCGGUACGCCACACCCCUCGCGAUCAACUGGACCCCCGUUUCAACCGUAGGAGGUCUGUUUCGUCCGUUUUACGGUACGCCACACCCCUCCCGAUCAACAGGACCCCGUUCCGAACGUCGAAGGUCCGUUUCCUCCGUUGUGCGGUAUGCCAGGCCUAAUUUCCAUCGCAUGUUCCGUCCAAGCCCUCCCGAUGAACACGACCACACAUUCCGUUCCGACCCAGCCGGUUGGCUCCCCAUGAACACGACGAUGAUGAUGUUUCUCUGUUCCGACCCAGCCAUGUACGUAUGUGCGAGUAGGCGUUCGAGACCCUGCCCGUAUGUACGUACGUGGCCGUAUUUUCUUUCUUGCACCCUCGCUGCUGUACGUACGUGUACAUGCUAUGUGUGCGCCUCUACUACGACACGUGCGCUCCUCUACUAUGACAUGUGCGUGCCUCUACAUCGACCAGUAUGUACAUACACGUUCGCGACCAGAAUGACAACGCUACGUACGCUUCGACCAGGUGGGUCCCGACUGUCAGGCGCUUCCUUGCCUGCGAAGAUGUAGCUGGUGGGUCCCAGCAGUCAGGGGGCGAAUCAUUUUGUUUUUUUAUUGCACGGAUGUACUUUCUUGCGUGCAAAGAUAUAGCUGGUGGGUCCCAGCAGUCAGGGGGGCAAAUCAUUUUUUUUGCCCGAACACACUUCCUUGCAUGCGAAGAUGUAGCUGGUGGGUCCCAGCAGUCAGGGGAGUGAAUCCUUUUGUUUUUUUUGCCCGGACGCACUUCCUUGCAUGCAAAGGUGUAGCUGGUAGUUCCCAGCAGUCAGGGGGGAAACAUUUUUUCGUGAAAUAUGGUGGCCCGUCCGGUGGGUCCCCGCUGUCAGGUGGAGGAAUAAUUAUUUUGCGCGUAAUAAGGAGGUACUUCCUUGCUGCGGCCGUGGACCCAGCUGUCAGCCUCUCCACCACGUCUGAUGGAAGCCGUUCCUUGACCACGUUGACCACGCCGCGCCAAGAGCACCAGGGCGGUGGACAACGGCGAGGCCUGGGAAGGGGAUGACGCGGAGCCGGGGAAGACGCGACAGUGGAUGCCCACGCGUAGAGGAGUACGAGGGUUCACUGGUUUGCUGCGGUGUGAGGUUGCCAUCGCCGUAGAAUAACAGGGGGUGUGGGUGAGUGGAGGGAUGGUCUGGCCAGCGGUGGGAGUAGUAGGGGCGGUGAGGCCUCCGCCGCAUCGUAGCCGGCCACGGGAGGCAGGAGCACGAGGCAUGACCGGCGCUGAUUUGGGCGGCUGGAGCAAGAAGACCAGAGGUUGAAGAAGCACUACGGCCGUUGGAUGGACAUCGUACGGUCACUGGAGCUAGAAUCGUGCAUAUUGACUAAGUUGACAAAGCCCUCCGUCCCCGUCAACUUAGUAGGCCAACAAGUCAGCCUGCCACUAUACUGGGUCCCAGCUAACAAGGGGAGUAUUCAUUUUUUUUUGUGUAAUAAGGAGGCACUUCCUUGCGUACGAAGAUAUAGCUGGUGGGUCCGAGCUGUCAGAGCCGGCCGCGGGGAGGAGGGAGCAGGCAGUCCCACCGGCGCUUGUUUGAGCGACUGGAGCAGGAAGAGCAGAUAUUGAAGAAGCACGACGGCCGUUGGAUGGCCAUCCAACAGUCACUGCUUGUGCGUCAACCUUUUUUGUAGGAAAGCCUCAAAUCUGUGGAAAACAACAUACAGCCCAUCUGCCAUUAUUUUUAAAAAUUUACAGCCCAUUUGCUAAUUCUUAAGGCUUUUUUUGGAGCCCAUAUUCUUUUUGUUAGCAUUACAGUCCAUAUUGUGGCCACGGUUAAAAACUUAUACGAAAUUUUCCAUAUUUCGGUGCGGUCCAAACUGUUUUUAAUCCCGAAAUUUCGACUCACAUUCAAACUGAUGUUAAAAAUAAAUGUAUAUCAAUAUAAAAUCCAACAAAUUCUCCACGCAUAAAAUUAAUGUAAUUUAAAAUCUCAAAAUGAAAAAAAGAUACUAAUUGCCGGUUUGAUGUGUUUUAAAAAUGUACAGCCCAUUUCUCAUUACUGAUGGGCCAUUUUCUCGGCCAGCCGAAUGAAAGCUCUCCUCGUCUUGAAAGAUUUGCAGCCCAACAGGCCUGACAAAGCGACUUACUUGGCAAAUCACAAAAAAACUGGGCUGUGGCCGUGGACCCAGCUGUCAGCCUCUCCACAUACAGUACUCUUCCGAUGGAAUGUCGUUGACCACAUUGACCACGCCGCGCCGAGAGCACCAAGGCGGUGGACGAUGGCGAGGCCUAGGAAGGGGACAACGCGGAGCCGGGGAAGACGCGGUAGUGGAUGCCCACGCGGAGAGGAGUACGAGGGUUCACUGGUUCAGCUGCGGUGUGAGGCUGCCGUCGCCGCAGGGCCUGGCUAGCGGCGGGAGUAGUAGGGGGCGAUGAGGCCUCAACGGCAGCAUAGCCGGCCACGGGAGGCAGGAGCAGGCGGUCUCCCCGACGCUGGUUUGGGCGGCUGGUGCAAGAAGAGCAGCGAUUGAAGAAGCAGCAGGACCGUUCGAUUCAAAUCCAACGGUUAUUGCUGCUAGAAUCAUUUGUUGACUAAGUUGACAAGCCCUGCGUACGCGUCAACGUAGUAGGACCAUAGGUCAGCCUCCCAACCGGUGCGCCCCAGAUGUCAGUGGGAGGAAUCAUUUUUUUUCGCGUAAUAAGGAGGCAGUUGAUUGCGUGCGGCCAGGCCAGCAGAGGGAGUAGGGUGGGCCAGGGAAGCCUGCGCGGCAUCACAGCGGGCCACAAGAGGAGGGAGCAGGCAGUCCCGCCGGCGCUAGUUUAGGUGGCUGGAGCAGGAAGAUCAGAGAUUGAAGAAGCACGGCGGCUAGAAUCGUGUGUUCACUGACAAAGCCUUGCGUAAACAAGUCGGCCUCGAAAUAUGUGGCGUGUAUAGCCCAUUUGCUAUUAUUUUUAUAAUUUUUACUCAUUUUCUAAUUCAUAUGGAAUUUAUUGCAGCCCGUUUUCCAUUUUUAGAAUUGCCGACCAUUUUCUGGUCAGUACGAGGGUCAAAAAAUUAACUAAAUAUGUGGGAAAUUUUGAAAAUUCGCAUUUUUUUACUGGGGAAUGAAAUAUUCUUAAUCCAAAAAUUAAUAGCCAUACUAAAACAAAUUUAAAAAUAAAUUAGUACUAUGUCAUGUUAAAUCCAAUGAAAUACGUAUAAGAUAUCAGUGAAGAACAAAAUUCAAAAAAACUAAUAUCCCAUUUGCUAUAAUUUUUUUGGAAUUUUCAACUCCUUUUGAUAUUACUUUUAACAGACAUUGACCAUACUCUUUGGCCAGGACGGAAUGCAUCCCUCCUCGUCUUGAAAGAUUUGCAGCCCAGUAAUUCAGAGAAAACAAAUAGGCCUAGCUUGGGUAUUCUUCAAAAAGAAAUACUGGGCUACCUAUUUUCCCAAAGAAUUGGUGCAUGAGCAUUUAGCUUUAUUUAUUUAUUUACUUAUUUAUGUUUAGGGGACCAUGAGCAUGUACCUGGGCCGGAUUCAUGUGAGAGCCUCCCUUCCAGUUAAUUAUGGGCUUCUCUAUUGGGCCUUCAUCAGUGGGCUACAUGUUAUCAACAAGUGGAAAAUGUGUUCCGUAUGAAAAAUAGUAUGAGCCACGUACGGUACGGGGCACUAAAGGAUCGAGCCGUGCAACGACUUCCAAAACAUUGUGUUUGUCGUUCUAACAACACAUUUAUUCAACCAACAGACAAAAUAUACUACUGAUUAUACAUUGAAAACAGCAGCAGCAGCAACCAGGGCUGGGGGUGCACCAGAAGCAGUAAGCAGGCCAGAAGAGUGAACACACAGCUCUCUCUUCCAAACCAAACAUCAGCCAUCAUUACAAAAGGGCUACCAAAAAAGAACAAGUGUAUGCAUCAAGCUAAAUAAAGAUCCUACUACACCAAGUGUACGCAUCUAACUAACUGGCUCAGUUAGACGUUACUUUUUGUUAAGCUGUGGAGAUUGGCUGAUGGCUUGAACCGGAUGGGUGCCUGACGGGGGAAACUCCAGCCAGCAGGUCGAAGUCUGAUACUUGUGACCCUCUCUCCUACUUUGGGCUACAGAGCGUGGCGGCACAUAUCAGGGUAUGGUGCAUGCAGAGACGCAUGGUACGCUGUGUACACACAGUUUUGCCUGAUGAACGAAACCGCGCUGCCAUCAUGAUCCUUGCUGUCGGUUAUCUCCUGGUUAAUCGAAUAAUUCAGUAUGACAAACAGAGAGCAUGUACCAAGGCUACUUACCAACCUCCAGUCAAAAAUUCCUGAAGGCCCAGAGAAGCUGGGAUCCUGCUCAAAGACCUUGCAGUGACUGUGAUUGUAUUCCGCGAAACAACACGUCCGGUACGUGCGAACGAUCAUCAAUCUUUCGCCAUCGUCUGAUCGAGCCAGGAACUACCUACAACCGCCAUGCCGCUUUUCUUUGAAAGGUUCUGGGAUUAGGAAGGGUAGGGACACAAGGCGGCCUACAACAUCAUAUCAAGUUGGAGUCAAAUAAAAAAGGGCUCUUGAUUUAGUCAAUCUUAAGAACAACAUGUUAUGAGCAUGAAUAUUUUUUUCAGUAAAUGUUGACAGUAAUAUAAGCAAGCCAUCAUGAUAUCAUAGGAAAGUAACAUACUGUUGUAAUAGCCGUUUGUAGCGAUGACUGGAGUAGGCCAGCAAUACGUCCAGCCAUAGAAGGAGUCGAUAGCGUAAAUGAAGCCCUUGUGUUCAAUGGCAUCAGAGAACCAUGGAGGAUGUAUGAUCCUGCGAUGGACGUGCAGAUUUAUCCACUUAUCGUAGUGACCUGUCAGAUAGGCGAGAUCGCGGUUGAAGAACGCAAUUAGCCUGAAAUCUUUAUAAUUCACAGAUCUUGUGGGCACUUGGCAGAUUACAACCUUGAGCGAAUCAAACUUGGUAUCAUGUUGGCUACUGUAAGAUUUCGAGUAUUCUAGGUCGCGGUGCCAAAGCAGUGCAGUGUUAAUCGAAGGAAGGGGGAUCAAUCGCUGGGUGUAGACCUCCACGAGCAUCCAGCUGCCAUGACCGUCGACGAGCACCAUCCAAGACGUGUUCAUGCCGACCUAGUACAUACCAUUAAUGUAGCUGAGGCUGACGGGGAUCGGAUCGCAGUGAAGGGGGUUGAUGCUCGCCACCCUACGAUCGUUAUGCUGCGUGACAUGCCGUUUCUGAAGAUCAGGUGACAUCAGCAAGCAAGGAGCUGGCUUAAAAAGCUCCGGCCUGAGGGCUUUGAGUAUAUAGUACAGCCCCGACGAGCACGCGGCGAGCGGCAUGGUACUGAGAUUGUCCACACGUGAAACAAUGAGCUUGAUUACCUCUGUGGGGAGCGAAUUCCAGCCACUCUUUUGGUUGACGUUGCUCGGUUCUGCCAUUGUUAGUGCUUGGGUUUCGGACGAGGGGGGGAGGCGCCUUAGCGGGGAUGGAAGCUUGGAUGAGAUUAUGUGCGGACAAAGAUGGAGAAGCGAAUAUGUGAUGCGGGAAGUGGACAGGUGAUGAUGACUACAGCACGCCGCUUGACUUACGAGACACAUACCAGCAGCGUAGGGUCAUAUCGAUGCUAGACAACUUGCUUGAGUGAUCACAGUACUAGUACUCCCUACAGUACCUACUACAGUAUUGUGCCCUAGCUUGCUAGAGUAGAGUAGUAGAGUAGGACUCUGCUCUACUACUAGCACCGGAGGAGUAGUAUAUUCUAAUCUAAAAUAGUUACAAACUUCAAUGCCCGAACAUGGAACGACUACGAACCGUGCUCAAAGACCGUGUCUAUGUGGUGUUUGGACUUAUAUGCAAAAAAUAGCAAGAUGCCCGUGCAUUGCACGGCACACCAUCAUCACCAACUCGGUUUUUUCUCUACUCCUACUCCUAUAAAAGACUCAGUUGGUGAUGAUGGAGGCGUGUUCAGCCGGGCGUGCAGCGAACGGCGCAUCACUAUUCGAUUUGUUAUAAAAAAAGUAGUAGAGAUAGAGACAUAGGGAGGAGCACGAGGUUGUGGGAGAUAAGGAUGAACAAGGCAAGGCCUUAUCUGUAGAUGUGGAGAGAGGUGCGGGUAUCUUUUGUAAAAUUGUCAUAGUUGGCUUUCUAUCCAUCAGAUAUAGAUCAGAUGGUCUAUAUUACAAGAUGGCAGGCAUACCAUCAUCACCAACUCGGUUUUCUAUAAGAGUAGAUAUAUAUAGAUAUAGAUAUAUAGAGACUAGGGAGCACUAGUAAGGACACCAUCUACUGCUUCGUGUGCUACUCCUGCGCUCGGCGGCCGCAACGUCCCCUACAGCCACUCCCUCAUGCGCUCCAUUCGGUGGGCGCUGUUGAAAUCUGGGGAGCGCAUUCUCGCGACUGCUGGCAGCCAAGACUUCACCGACGACGACUUCUUCCCCGACCUUGGCAACCUCUUCCUCAACGACAUGGGCGACAACUUCAACGCCAACGGUGCUGCUCCCGUUGCACCGUAUGUGUUUCUGUCCUUCCUGUUCGAAAUCGUGGUAGAAUUCAUGUUUCUACUUUGUAUCCUACUACUAUGCUAGUCCACAUGAUUAGUUUCAUCUCUGUUAUAGCCGUCAUGAUUUAUUUUGUGCUUAUUCGGAUUAAAUCUCGUAGUAACUUGCUCAUAUAUUCAACUGGCGCAACGUCCUCUACAGCCACUCCCAUUUCAUGUACGGCUUGGUUGAUGCCUCCAAGGAGCCCUUCGUCCACUGCUAUGAGUGCCCGAUGCCGUUUUGUGGCUCGCCGGCGGACAUGGUGCAUCACCUCACGGAUGCGUGCAGUGGUCACUGCCGGCCCUUGGCGGAGAACAUCAAGUACGAGACGUGCUACCGGUUCACCAUGCCGGAGUCGCUGGAGGAUCAUCGCCGCCAUCUAGUCCCGGAGGAGGACGACAACAUCUUCCUCUUGAUCAUGGGCACCGGCGAGGCCCGCGCAGGCCGCCGCCCCAUCUCUGUAAUGUGCAUCAGGGGCAUCGCCGCUGACGCUGACACUGACACGAGGCAGAUGUACGGGUGCGUGGUCAAUGUUACUACCCCUCCGGGUUGCGUGGGCGGCGACACCGGCCUCAUCGGACAGACUUGGACUCUGGGGAGCUGGGACUAUCCCGCCAAUGUGGACUUGGAAAACCCAUGGCAUCCGUUCCAUCCUUUACCCACCGACUCCGUGCACGGGGACUCCAAGGAGGUUCACCUGGACAUACGCAUUAUCAAGUGCACUUAGAAAACAUGUAGUGUGUGUGUGGGCUCUUACGGCCCGUGUCUUUGCCGCUUUUGAUUCUAUAAGCUUGUCGUUAAACUUGAGUGGCUUUCGCCGCAGUCCUUCCUUUGAACUGCUCCUCUCAGUGAGCUGAUGUAAGACACUUUGGGUUUCAUUUGAUAAUGGAACCGGGGAGGAGCCUCCCUGUACUUCUAAAAAAAUACGCAUUAUCAAGUUAAAUAUUGAUCAUUAGUCUUCGCUCAAUGUAAUCUGCUGUCUAAGCAUGUGGAGACUUCCAUGCAUGAUCUUGCUCUAUUGGAGUAUCGUGCAUGAAUAAAAGUAUAUCCGUUUAUGGUUUAGUCUAGAAUCUUCCAUGUAUGAAUUUUUAGUACAGUACUGGUGAAAGACUUAUGAUGAACCAUUUCUUACAUCUCCUCUGCCCCCUUGCAAGUCAUCCUGAUUUAAUCCCUCCAUCUAGGUGUAUAAGGGCAUGGUUAAUAUUACUUAAUAGUAUAGCCAACUGCUGACUAUAAGAAAGUGCCAUGUCAUCUGUAGCCAACAUGUAUAAGAAUCGAUACUCAAAAACUAAUUCUUAAAGAUCAUUUCUUGCAAAGCACAAUAAGUGUUAUUUCUUCACAAGUUUUGGAUGCAGGUUGAACAGUUGAACGCUUUUGUUUGCAAAAGAUACCUUUUUAUCUAUUCUGCCUGGAUGUUUGUGAGCUCUAGAGAUGAGAUAAUAUGCGAAGAAACCUAUCGAUACCCGUUACACAUGAGAUGACCCCAUAUCCUUUGUCAAAAUAAACAACUCCCCGAUCAAUGCAUCUCACGCUUCAGUGCAAUGCACGGGCACCUUACUACUAUAGAUUAGUACGACCAAAAAUUGAACUAACAUUAUAUAUAGUACGAUAAAUACUGAUGCAUGUCACCUAAAAUUAUAUCAUUCAAAACUAUGUUCAAAUACGAAUCCAACGAUACAGUUUUUGUUGACAUGCACUAACAUUUUGUCAGUUAAAUCUUGAGUCAAAUUCAAUGGGGGCCUAAUAAACCACGAUCGAUGUAGUACAAGUGUAGAGGGCGGCGCUGCACAGGAGUCUCACCUCUCAUCCCGCUCGUGGCGCGGCAGUAAAGCCAUCAUAUCACAAAACCCAACCACUCCCAGUAAUAAAUGGCCUGGUAAAAUACAAGGACAGGCAACCAUCACAUCCCUCCGUCUUUUUUGCAUUUCAUCUCUUUGCAUUUACUUUCUCCGGUUCAUCUCCCACACUCGAUCCCUAGCUACUACUCCUAGGGCCAGUUCUUUUGGCGGCUUCCCCAACUUUUCCCACAAGACUAGUCAUAGUGGAGAGUAACAAUAAGGCGCCUCACUCAUUUAUUUGGGCUUCUAAACUACUACUCCGUCAUGGUUUAUUCCUCACCAUUGUAAUUUGUGCUAAAUUUUGACCAAAGAUUUAACUGAUAAAAUGUUACUCAAAAUACUUAGGCGCGGUGCAUCUAGGUGUGUAAGUCAUCUUACGAAAACCAAAUAAUCCCAAAACACUUAGGCGCGGUGCAUUAACUUCUACCUCGUUUCUUGUUUCUUGACAUAUCAACCAAUAAGAGAUAAAGAGUGUGCAUGCUUUUAAUGACUUGAGAUAUCAAACACGACAUGCAGUGGUUAGUUCAUUGCAUGCAAUACUAUUAAUUAGCAAAUAAACAUUAACAUUUCUCAUUUUCUAAUCCUGCUUGGUCACGGUGCACAGCCUAAGAUGACUUACUCACCUAGACGGAUGGAGUAGUGCAUGUGACAUGCACUAACAUUUCAUUAGUUAAAUUUAUGAUCAAAAUUUGACACAGAUUACAAUGGGGACCAAUAAACCAGGACAAAGGUAGUAGUUAUGGGAUUACUAAUCUAGAAGCCUAAAAGAACUGUCCCCUGGUACUCCUACUAGUAGUAGUACUCAAGUUGGAAUUCCAAUUGCAUGCACAACUUGUUAGGCAAAAAAUUUGAUACAGGGUGUUGGAAGCGGUUUGGGAAUUUGCAUGCCUUUCCAACCAGUGAGAUACUCCCUACAAAGUACGACAGAGAAAUAACCACAGAGAAGGAAGCUAAAAGUAAACAAUCAAACGAGCAUUUUUGCAUUUGUUUUGCAUUGAAUCGUUUCACAAGCUUGACUAGUGCUGUUUUUCUACUUUUACAAAAACCGCAUCGUAAUGUUAAAACGUGCAUUUGCACGUACAUAAGUAAUAGUAGUACUCCCUCCAUCUAGGUGUACAAGUCUUCCCUCCUUCUUGGUCACCGUGCACAACCAAAGAUGACUUAUUGACCUGGACGGAGGGAGUAGCACAGUCUGCAAGCAUAUAUCGAGAGAGACGUGUAGUCCAAUAGUAUAUAGUAAAGUUUGUGCUAUAUGCAUGUACUUGCAAAAUGCGUAAUAAUACACAACAUUUCCAAACUUUCCCUUUUACAUACUUAAUUAAGGACGCUAAAAAUUCCUGAACAUUCGGGAUUUAUCAUUUGCGUCCCAAAACUAAUGAGAUUGCCUUACUAAACAAAAAUUAUACUCCUAAAAGCCACGGUGCUCGUAGGAGCACUUGCGGCGCGCCACGAGUGCCCUGGUGCGCGGCCGUUUCCCAGCACGCCGACACAAUGCCUCUUCCUCAGCCUCGCAACUCGCGAGGUGCUGAUUGGCGGCUUGCCGGCGGACGAGCGUGAUCUCACCGGUGUGGUGAUCCGGCGCCAACAGGUACUCCUCCUGGCUAGAAGCGUGCACCCGGUCCACGUACCGCCAAGCGUAGAUGAGGUGCUUGGGCCCGACUGCACUCAGGGCAUCGGCACGGGCGUCCUCCGCCACCCUCACGGCCCUCGCACGAGCCUUCUGCCAAAGAACCAAUUGCUUGACUCUCUCGGACGCGACUCUUCCUCGGCCUUCUUCUCCGCCUCUAUUUUGGCAUGCUCUGCUGGAGGCAAAGCCUCCCACAAGGCGACAUCCAUUUCUUUCCAAAGCUCCUCAAGGCUGGGGGGCUCGGCGGGCGGCGCAGCGUUCUCCUCGUAGCAGGGAGCCAACACGUCCUCCGACACUCGUGCUGGCGAGAUUGGGAACGCUAACGCGUCCACCUCGACGCGUCGCGGCGAGGAGCGGAACACCGAUGCGUCCUCCUCGACUAGUGGCGGCGACGAACGGAACGGUGAUGCAUCACGUCGCGGCGAGGAGCGAAACACUGACGCGUCCUCUUCGAGUAGUGGCGGCGAGGAACGGAACAGCCACGCGUCGCGUAGCGGCGAGGAGCGGAACACCGACGCGUCCUACUCGACUAGUGGCGGCGAGGAACAGAAUGGCGACGCGUGACUGUCCGCGCGGUGCAGCGAGGGGCUCCUAGGUCUUGGGAGGGGCGAUGCCAUGGUGGUCGACGUGAGAGGGAGGGGGAGGAGAUAGCAAUGAACGUGAACGUGAGGGGGAGGAGAUAGCGAUGUCGUGGGAGGCGCAGUAUUUAUAGCGAGCAAUGGCACACCUAUGUAAGAUAUGGACUGAGCUGCACUGACUUAACUGGAGGUCCAGUUGCGUCACUAACAUGUGGGCCAGUACACUGCUGGGCCCGUAUGUCAGUGACCAAAUUCACCUAAAGUUAAGUAAAAGCUACAUGGGCAUAUUUGUUGGAGUAAAUUACGGGGGAGCGAAGGGGUGGAAAUAUUGCUGGUCACAACGGAUUGGACGAGCGUGGGGGGAGGAGAGUCAUGCAUGCAGAUUUUUCACACGGGGUGGAGUGGUGGGACCGCUGGAGGGAGAAGGAGAGUUUGGCAGGCAUAUUGUUUCCACACAUGGAGAGGAAAAGAUUUGGAGACAAACGGGCUUCCUGCAGGUAUGGGGAACGGUGCAUAAUAAGUCAUCUUGCAUGCCGGGCUAGGCAUAGUCUCAAGUCAUUAAAAACAUACACGCCCCACACAUGUUCAUAUUUCAAGGUGCACUAAAUUAUUGCAUGCGAUGAUUAAGGCUGUCCAUAAUGGUGGUAUCUUAGCUGGUAUCAUGCACACGGGAAUAGCAAACAUGCUGAUGUGGCAAAGAAUUAAAGAAGAGAGGGGGGUUAGAGUAACUAGUGUUUAUGCAUGCAUUGGUAAACACAUUUUUUUGUGAAGAACGGCAACAUUAGUUGAGUACUUUUGCAAACUUCAAAAACUAUUCUACCGCCUCUACUAUCUUGCUAAGAGUAGGUGAAAUUUUGAGUCGAGCCCUUUAAACUAGAAGGGAGGUAGUGGUACUCUAAUAGCUAGGUGUGUAAGUCAUCUUACGAAAACCAAAUAAUCCCAAAACACGUAGGCGCGGUGCAUUAACUUCUACCUCGUUUCUUGUUUCAUGACAUAUCAACCAAUAAGAGAUGAGGGUGUGCAUGCUUUUAAUGACCUAAGACUAUCAAACAUGACAUGCAGUGGUUAGUUCAUUGCAUGCACUACUAUUUAAUUAGCAAAUAAACAUUAAUGUCUCUCGUUUUUCCCUCCUCCUUGGUCACAGUGCACAGCCUAAGAUGACUUACUCACUUAGACGGAGGGAGUAUCAACAUUCACAAUGUCAAAUCAAUAUUUUUACACUCAUUAUAAAACAUAGUUCUUAUACUCAUUAUAAUCAAUAUUGUAGAUAUUGAUAUUUUUAGUAUAAAUUUGGUCGUGGGAUUUCAGUGAUGCCUGUCAAAGCAUGGAGGAAGCGGAGCUUAGGGCUUGCAUUACCGGUCUCUACAUAGGUAUUUAUCUCAUAAUCCUGUAAUUUUAGAGACUGGUUGCGCUUUUGUGGUAGCAUCUCUUGCAUCAGGGGACUAUAACAGAUCUGCUAUGCAUGACCUGAAGAUGAAAGCGUUGAGCAUCUCGAAGUUGAUCAACAAUCUUCAAUUGUCAAAGAUUAUCCGUUCGGCCAAUAAGGUGGCACACUUAAUUGCUAAGUAUAGAUUUGACAAUAGAUUAGAUGGUAUUCUUGUAAAGAACGUACCGCCCUGUGUGGUGAAUAUUGUAUCGAAUGAGUGUACUAGUGUGGCUGGUUAAUUAAUAUAAGGUGGUGUUAAAAAAGUAUAUAUUUGGUCAAACACUUUGCAAACGGUUGACGGGAUUAAAAAGGACCAGAGGGAGUAUCAUGCAUGCAGAGUAGGCAAAAAAAAUUGCUCAUUUAUAGCCGGUCGAAGUCUCAAAGGGCGCGACCGUGCGAGGGAGGCGAAGGUCGUGGGAGGAGCGGCGGUUGACGGAAUUAAGUGAAGUUACAUCCACGCGCCGGCAUGGCGUGCGAACAGGCAGAAGCCAUACCAUGAGGCCUACGAUAUGGGUCUAGUAGACAUGACAUCUAGUGGGUCGUACAUACUUCUCGAGAACUCUUUGGGGGCUUGCAGCCGUUUAUCCACCGGGUAAGCCAGCAAUCCCAUGCCGUUCGCAUGCCCUACUCGUCCCCAUCUUCUACCUCACAACAGUUCGCUCCCAGUCGUCCCGUCCUUUCACAUUAGUUCGCUCCCAGUUUUUGCGGGGUACAACAGUUCAACUUCUCCUAACCCUCCUCCAAAAUCCAUGGCCUCCCAAUCUCCAUGGUCGCCGCUGAGUACCAGGUUAGAGCCAUCACCAGCGAUUAGUUCAUCGUCAUCUACACACGUGGAUCCGCGACUGUGAAAGCAUGGCUUGCUCGCUUCCUACGCAUGUUCAACAGUUCAACGGAUGAGUGGGUCGCUGGGCUAGAUGUUGAGUACACCACAGUCCUGGGACGAGAGAAGGAUCUAAAGGACAAAGAGAGGAAGAAGCCCGUCGUGAUCCAGGUUUGCAUACAUAACGUUUGCUUGGUCUACCACAUAUGCCAUGCCGACGUUGAGUGCCAGGAUUUUAAGAACUUCCUCAAGGACAAAAGAGUGAAAUUCGUUACUAUAGGCUUUAAGAAUGACAGGGAUGUCCUGCGUCGGAUAGGUCUCGUUGUAGGCCAGCCCUUCGAUCUCCAGAAGGCAAGCCUGGUGUCCUCCUCUCAACCUUCAAUGCUGACCCUGGCAGCAGCCAUGAUUGAUCCUUCGUACGCUAAACUGAAGAAACCUCAUCACGAGGUUCAUCAUGCAUGGGAGUCGAAGACAUUAGAUGAAGAUCACAUCCUGUACGCAGCAAUGGAUGCCUACCUUUGUUUAAAUAUCUACAUGGGUUGGAUGAAGAAGCAGAGCCCAGUGUCCGGUUCAAGCAAAGAAGCGUCGGCGAAGAGGAAGAGGAAGAGGGACAAGGACGAAGUCGAGGACGUGGACUCGGACUCCGAGUAGGUGACAGUGCCGUCGCUCAUGCUGGUUCUACUGCAGUGUCAAGCGGACUAGUUGCUUAGUUUAUUUUCAAGGGUGUGUUGUGCUGCGGCCCUAGCAGAACUAUGUUUAUGUUCUUUCUCGUUAUUAGAACUCUUUAGUACGUAGAGUAGUACUAGUACUAUGUCUUACUACUGUUCUUCUUGCAGUUGGUACUACUGCUCGUACCUUCGUGUUCCUACUAUACUUAAUACGUUCGUACUAGUAGUAUAAUUUGGGUCAGUCGAUUUGUGAAAGAAGUUCGACGGAGCGAAGGAAGAAGACGGCAGAAGAGGUGGAAGAAGCCCUUCUAGCCAUCCAUGUUGCAUCAAACGGCUCACAUGAGUCGACUGACCCAAAUUGCUCCUUCAGAUUGCAGGAUCCACAUGGCAUUCAAGGUCUCGAAGGUAGAUUCCGCAUCCCCACCCGGUUUGCGGGCUCGACGCGCGCGCGACCGGCUUCCGCCGUGACAGCCACCAUGCGCGCCUCCUCCGCGCGGGCGGAGAUGACAAUGACACGCUAGUUCCUCCUUGCCGGCAUGCUGAAGCACGCGCUUGUCCUCCUCUUCAUACGCUGCGUGCAUAGACACGGCUCCACCAGCUGCUCGCGUGCUUGGCAGCGCGGCGGCAUGGCGAGGAGGGACUGCAGACAACAUGAGCGGGCGAGCCUUCGGCUUCAUGGCACAGGGAUGGCGGCGACACGGCGGUGAUGGGCGAGAAAUUGUUGGCCGGAGCAGGCGGGUGCCAGCAUGUGCAAUGGCGGCGACGGCAUAUUGAUGAGUGCGCGUAUGGGAGCUUACUUUAGUUUUACUAGCAAACAAGCCCGUGCGUUGCAACGGGAGCGAAAAAAUCACAUCUCAUACACACUCUCGAGACAUCAGUAAAUCUCUUGAAAUCGUGAACGAUGUCACAUGAAAAACAAAAUGAUAAGUGAUGUUGCGCAAAAACAUAAAGACGUGAUGAUUUUUAAAGUGUAUUCAAGGUGUUUCCAAUUUAGACAAUAUAAAUAUCUAUCUAGCUGCAAGUACCUCUUUACGCAUUUGUUGUCGUUCCUUCUCGGUGGUGCCCAACAAAUAUUUGCAUUACAAUGAAAAUAACAUUUGCAAAAGAGCAUUAUUUUUGCCUCCUUGAUAUAUGUGUUUUUUGUAAUCCAAGUCAAGUAUUAAUUUGGUCGCAAACAUGUUAGACAACUCCAUCGAAAACAAUCAAUUUGUAAGGGCAUGCAUACCAAAUGUUCAAGGUUGCAUAUCAACAACGAUAUUCUCAAGAAAAAAUUUAUGGAAACAAUUUAAAACAAUAUGAAAAUUAAAGUCAAGCCAUUGGUUUACGUAAAGCUUGUAUCAGGAACAUUGUACAUUUUUUCUACAUCAGAAACAUUUUUAUAUACACGCUUAAUACUUUCCAAUUUAAUGGUUAACAUUUUCCAAAACCUAUUUAUUUUUAUGUCUACUUAUUUUAUACACAUUCUACUUUUUUGUAUAUAUCAAGAACAUUUUUUACAUACACGUUUAACAACAUGAUACAUGAUAAUAUUUUUGAAAACUUAUAAUUUUUAUGUCUACUUUGUUCCAUACACAUUGUAUAUGUUUUUGUAUACAUUUUUUUAUACAUACAUCAGAAACAUUUUUUCCAUGCACAUUUAAUUUUUUUAAUGCACGAUUAACAUUUACUAAACAAUGAAAAAUAUAUUAUUAUUUUUCUAUACACACUGUACUUGUUUGUAUAUAAUGAAAACAUUUUUUCUAUACAAGCUUCACAUUUGUUUAAUGCAUGAUUAACAUUCUUUCAAAGUCCGCAUAUAAGUGAUUUUUAUAAUUAAAAUAUUUAUAGUAUUUAAAAAUAAAGCCAAAAGAAGAAAAUACAAAGCAAAUGUAAUAGUAGUGUAAAAAAAGAAAAAAUAAGUGUUGUAGGCCGCGUUGGGCUGGCCCAAUCAGGCAUCUUAUCUCAUAGAGAAAAGGGGAGCAAAAAGUGGAGAUUCUGGGGUCGAACCUGGGUCUCCCAGGUGGGAGCGCGAGGGUCUAGCCAGUCGGUCUAGCCAUGCAACAGUGAUUUGCUGGUGGGUUGGCUCCUUAUUGUAUCGAAACGAACGGCCGACUUAAAGAAAAGAAAAAAUGAAUCGUUUUUCCAACUUACCGGUGGCAUAGGUGGGUAAUUCAUGCGAACUUCAGGGGCAAAUUGUGCGACGGACGACAGAAACCCAAUUUUCUUUAUUAUUAGGUAAAGAUAUUAGGUUGGUCAAACUUAAAAGAAAACCGUACUAGUACACGUAAACAUUAGACUUAGGCAACGCUUUUAUUAAUCUUUUUGAAGUUAGUACCACAGCCACGAUACGGAAUCCUGUGCAAGCGCGUGAACCGCGGCCGCGCGGUCGAUCGAACGGUGCGUCACCGUGUCGCGCUCGAAGGACAUCCACCGAACCUUUUUGUGUGUGUGAAAACAAUCCUCGAAUAUUACUCAACUUUUUUUUCCUGGGAAAGUUCUUGACGCUGCAAUAUUUCCAUAUAUUUGAAUUUAGCUCCAGUUUGUGUUUAUUUGGAUUUGGACGUUUUAGGUGCGCCCUAGUUUUUUUAAUACUUAUUUUGUGUGUGUGACUGAGAGAGAACGUGUGUAUGUGUCCAUAUGUGUGUUGUGGCGGAAGGGCAAUGUGGAGACGGUGUGCGUGUGAUAUAGACAUAGAGAGGUGUGAAUGUGCAAAUGAUCUUACAUGAGUGAGACAUAGACAGAUGCCGAUACGUUGUGUAUACAUGAGAGAACGGUUUUCUAGUUUACUUGUGUGUGUGUGUGUGUGUGAGAGAGAGAGAGAGAGAGAGAGACAUAGAGACAAAGAGAGAGGAGCAUCCGUAACACAACAACCAUCUCUCUCGAUUCGUCCAUCCCUCGCACGAUCGCAUGCAACAUAUGCAUCAACGCGCACAUUUUGACACCCUCACUCGGCCCCUGCCCACCUCAAGGCCCGCACAAUCUCUUCGUGAAUACCCAUUUCUCUCCUUAGGUUUGUUUUCGCUCAAUAUCUCUCUCUCUCUCACACACACACACACACACACGCAGCACAACACUCCCCCAAGCACACAAUUCAUCCCCAUCGAAGGUUAUACGGCGACCACUCUCGCUUGUGCUUAUUUGCACCCCAACAUGCACAACACCUCAAUCUUCAAAGAGGGCAUCGAGCAGAUCGAAGACGGCGACCACACCGCACUAGAGAAUGCGGGGUCAUUUGGAAGCAGGGUGAUGUGACGACGGCUGACUGACUCCUCCCCCCACCCUCUCUCUCUCUCUCUCUCUCUCUCUCUCUCUCUCUCUUGCAUGAAAUUACCAAUCCCUCUCUCCCCACACAAAAUUGUCAAUCCCUCAACCCAUGAGAUCCUUCCCCUAUCAUCCAUGUUUUUCCAGCUCUCUCAUCAAACAUGUUGUCUCUUCUCUUUCCACGUAUACAGAAUCCGGAUGCACAUGCAUCUCACGUAUAUUACAUGUCUCCAUCUUUCUCACAGACCUAACUUCUUCCUCUCUCUUUCUCUUUCUCUCUCUCUCUCUCUGUCUCGUUAGGUUUGUCUCCUACUCUCUCAUCCACAUACAUACAAUAUUUCCCGCCCUAUCUACUCCAUCUUCAAAAGCUCUCUCUGCAUGUUUCAUUCACACAAUGGGAUAUGUCAAAAUGUUGCUUCUAUAAUGGCUGAUGUAGAGUUUUGAUUGUUUUUGUUGCAUCCUACAAAGUAAUAACUAUGAAAUGCAUUUAGAUUCUCAUUUGACUGGGAUUAUGUGAGUUUGAGCAUGUUGUGAAGUACUAUAGACCUUGUAUACAUCUUGGGAUUCGACAAUGAUUGUAACUAUUGAAUUGUAUAGUCCAUUACAUUCAAAGUCAAUAGCCUAAUAUAUUUAUUUCCAAUUUCAACAAAUGAUUAGUUCAAUACAGACUAAGAAAACAAAUGUGUACUCCCUCUAUUUUUAUUAAAGUCCGCUUAUUAGCAUUGGUCAAAGUCAAGUUUUGUAAACUCUCAGAAAGCUUAUAACAAAAAAUAAUAACAUAUACAAUAACAAAUAAAUAUCAUUAGAUUCAUUAUUGAAUGUACUUCCACAUCAUACAUAUUUGUUAUGGUAAAUGUUUAUAUUUUUAUAUAAACUUGGUCAAAAUUUAGGAAGUUUGACUUUGGUCAAACCUAAUAUGCAGAGUUUACUACUACUACUCGCUAGUUGCUUAGCCGAAUCACUCAACACGCCACACGGGGAGUCCAGUGUCACAAAAUUUUGAGGUCGGCGGAAAAAUCUCCCGCGACCCUGAUUCGAGCAGUGGGAAGUUACCAUCAUAGCCUUUGGAACAGGCCUACAGACGAUGCUUGGUAGGGGGCUGUUUUCGUAACUUCAGGUUCACCCUACCUAGCCAGCCCCACCCCGGCACCCAGAGUAGUACACCUGAAUACUCCCCAUUUUCUAUCCCCACCGCAAAGUAGACUUCUCCAUGGCACCGUAGCCUUCGUGCUCCUCCCCUUUACAUCGGCGCACUCGUCCACUGCAGUGCAUCUGCCUCAUCGACGACCUCGUACGCCGCACUGGAGCCAGUCCACCGCUGUCAUCGUAGACGGAGCCUCUUCCCCGGCAUCGUCUUCCACGGCCUCGGAUCUGCUUCCCGGAAGCCGACGCCAAGCGCAGAAGUACCACCGUCGUGGACAAUGAACUGACUCCCGUUGCCGACCAUGACUCACAGAAGCCGCCGCGACCAUCGUUCUCCUCCUCGAUUGGUAAUGUGUGUAUUGAAUCACUUAGCAGUACAUGUGCAGUUCCAAUUUUGUUCAUACCCAUCCUUAAAUUUUCCUGGGUGCUAUUGUUCCCGUAAAAGUAAUUGGUUAUAGCCUCCAUUGUCCAACAGAAUAUCAGCUUGUAAUUGUGCGUCGCUCCUGUAUCGCGUUGUGCUUGGGUAGGUUUUUCAUCUGCAACCAGCAGUGUGGCAAAUGAUGGAAAGAUUUUUAGAACUAGCAAGAUGCCCAUGCAUUGCACGCAUCAAGAUGCAUUUGUAUGAGUAGUUUAUCUUGUGGGAGAAAAGGAUGAACGAGGGAAAGCCUUAUUUGCAAAUCUGGAGAGGGGUAUGGGUAUCUUUUUGCAAAAUUCUCAUUUGUUUCCUUCCUAUCUGUCAGAUAUAAAUCGGACGACCUAUAUUGCAAGAAAAAAAGUAUAGAGAAAAAAAGUAGAUAGUAAAGGAAGUAGAGAUAAAUAUUAAAUAUUAAAUAUUAAAUAAAUAUAACCGUAGAGAAGAGAGUAGAGAUAGGAGAGACGUCGGAAAGGAUCGCGCGCGCGCGGGAAAAAGUGGCCGGGCGUGCACUAGUUUUGGCGCGCGGCGUCCGGCGUGCUUUAUAAAAUCCAACGCCCUCCCACCGCUCUGUGCCUUGCCACCGCUCUGUGCCUUGCCACCACUCUCUCCCCGCUCUUUUUAGCCUCGCCGCCAUCGUGCAACCAUGCCGCCGUGUCGCCGAGAAACUUGGGUAUACCGCGGCGUCCACGCACGCCCGUCCGGCGGCUUCUCCGCUGAGAUCCGGUUCCGCGGGAUGCGCCUCGGCCUCGGCAAUUUUGACACCGCCAACGAGGCCGCUCGCGCGUACGACGCGGCGGCGUGGCGCCUCCGGUGGCCUCAUAGAACAUUGAACUUCCCCAACGUGCCAACGUGGGAGCGGGCGCAGGAGCUCGCGCCUCCGCCGCAGCUUAGCACCGACGAGGAUCGUCGCGACAACCGGAGGCGGGAGCACCACCUCGGCAUCGCCAAUAUGGACGAGGAAGCCAUUGUGCUGUAGCACCAACACUUCCUGCAGGACAUCAUCAACGAGCGUGAGUUCUACGCACAAAGGAGGGCGAAGAGGGAUAAAAGGAGGGCGGAGCGAGCCGCCUAUCGCGAGGACAAGCGUAGGCUAAAAGCGGACGCUCAAUUCAACAUGAGGCUAGGAGCCGCGUCGCCCUGGAAUCCGACAACGAUCGUUAUCUUCACGCCUGUAGUCAGAUGUCGGAGGAGGACAUCACCGAGGAGGAGUCGGACAACGAGGAGUAGUUGAAUUAUCUUUUCUUUAUCUAUCUAUGCUGAGAACUAUCCUCUACUCUCUAGUAUCUACUUCUCGAUCUCAGCACUGUAAACGCUUUUUAAAGCGCCGCAUGUUGCGAUUCUGUUGGAGAUGCUCUAACAUGGCAGACGAGUGCUUUAAUGUUGCCCACAAGAUGCGCGAGUAUUACUAGUAGUAUUUUUCUUGCCAUGUUGAGAUUUUAAAACCACGAGUGUGAACAUGUAGAGGAGCAAUGAAGACCAAACACGGAAUAUUCGGUACAUCUUCAAGGAGCGUGGCAAGUUAAAGAGGAGCUGCACCGAACCUGUAAAACGAGCUUUGGUAUGU
RNAcentral lists this long non-coding RNA (58256 nucleotides) under Triticum aestivum (bread wheat). RNAcentral describes it as "long non-coding RNA (TAES_LNC022671)". The record is from RNAcentral. Lineage: Eukaryota; Viridiplantae; Streptophyta; Magnoliopsida; Poales; Poaceae.